UUGGGGCAUUGGUCUUUGCAGCGUUAAUGCUUUUUGCUGGUUGGUUUCAUUAUCAUAAAGCGGCGCCAAAAUUGGCUUGGUUUCAAGAUGUAGAAUCUAUGCUGAAUCACCAUUUGGCAGGGCUACUAGGACUUGGGUCUCUCUCUUGGGCGGGGCAUCAAGUACAUGUAUCUUUACCGAUUAACCAAUUUCUAACCGAAUAUUCAGGUAUCAAAUUUGGUUUAUUUUACAUUGCUUCAUAUCUGAAUCUACUAGUUUCUUCAUUAUUUGUAACAGUUCUUUAUUUGGGAGGUUGGAAUCUUUCUAUUCCGUACAUAUUUGUUCCUGAGCUAUUUGGCAUAAAUAAAAGGGGUAAAGUCUUUGGAACACUAAUUGGUCUUAAAGUCUAUACNNNNNNNNNNNNCACCCCAAUUCAUACGACAAUGGAAGAUCCUUAGACAUAAUAGCCCUCAUUACAGGAACAAGGGAUAUGGAACUAACUAAGGAUCUUAACAUGUGAGAGGAGACAGGAAAAAAGUCCUUAGUCACUCCGCGUACGAAGAACCGCUUAGCAAACUCCAAAGCACCAACUGACGAUACUAACGAUUUCUCUAACGAAAAUGGAACAUUCAGUGGCGAAAUUAGCUCGCGAUAACGCUCAGCCACCCGCCCUAUAUUAUGUCUAUUUUUGUUUAUUCACGAAAUUUAUAUAAAUUUCCCUUUAUCAAUACCACUUUUAUUUGAAUCCCAGAUUUCCUAUGAUUGAUACCCUUUACUGAUUUCAUGUGAUGAUAUUCUGUGUUGAUUUCCGAAUUCUAAAUUAUCUUCUUGCCUUAUUAUGUAGUUGAGUACAUUAUUUACUGAUUCAUAAUAUUGUUUCCUUAAUUAGGACUUUCUGAACCUAGCCCUAAUUACCUGUUCUAUACUUGCAUUGUUUGAAGUCUUUACUUAUUUGUUAUACUCCAGCUAUAUAUGAUUUUUUUCCUUACUUGUCAUCUGCUCUUUACAGUUUGAAUAAUUCCCUUAAUUAAGGGAAGACUUGGACUAAUUUUACUCUGAGUUCUAUAAUUACUGAACAAUUUUGAUUCUUAACUUAUUUACCUAGCUUUCAAACUACUAUAUAUAUUGCUCUCUUCUACAGUCUUACAGACAUAUGAACUCACAUUAGUUCACAUCUCUCAUACACUCAAAAGCUUUUCUGCUUUCUUUUGUUACUUACUAUUGUUACUAAAUUAGUCUGCUGCAAGCCAAGGCUAAUUAUUACACUCUCAUGUUUUUCACCUUGUGUUUACUCUCUUUACUGGUAUGUUCUGAUUUUAAAUUCAAGCUCUCAAACCAAUAUGUUUCCUACUGCUUUAGUUUAUCAUAUUCCUAAUCUGUUUCUAUCUAUUGUUUUGUUGUUCAACAUGUAAUUGACCUAUUGCUCCACUUAGCUUGUUAGUUAUGUCCUACCCCUUUCUAAGAUCAGCAUGGCUUACGAACUUGUAGUCUGUCUAAAAUUAACUCUACCCUGUUUUUGAAUGUUUGUUUACUUGCUAUUUAGUCUCUAGUAUGAACCUUUCUUUGCAAAGCAAUUUUUGUUACUCUAAGUUGUCCGAUUCUAUGUUGGUUCUGAAAUUUUUACUGUAUUGUAUCAUUAGUUAUCCCCCAUCCGAUGAACCCCCUAAAUCACCUCUGAUUCUAUAGCUAUAUUUAGCACCCCUGAAUCCGUGUCUUACUAUUUGCACUAUUAGCUACCCCCUUAAUUGCAAAGACUUCUGUUUACGUCUAUUAUGUGUUCCCAGCCCCAAUUACCCCAGUGUGAAGGGUUGUUAUUUGAGUGUUGCUAAACCUAUUUUGGCUCUAUGUUUGAUCUGAUGUUUGUGUGAUUACACAACUCUUGUCAAAAAUUGUUUUACUGAACAAUUCUCCUAUUUUAUAAAACUACUUCAACUGAGUCUUUUUCAAAUACUACUUUCCUAUUAAAACCUUUUCAAAACUAUGUCAAGCACUCUCACUCUACUCUUAGGUCCUUAAGUUCUGCCCCUCCGGUGUGUGACUGCCUUGGGAUCCCUGUGAGAUCCCUCUAAACUAUGAUGCACUGGAGCUGGCUCUUCCAUACUGCACUUACUCAAUUAUGGUUAUGAAGUCUGGGUAUGAGCACUGCCCGGGGUCCUUUGGGUCCUUAGGGAGCUCUAAUACACCCGUACAUAAUAAAGGCUAUGAAACUUUGGCAUAUGAGGCUAUGGACAGUUUGGUAUAUUUGGGCCUGCUUCAGGCUCCCUAUAGUGUAACUUCUUCUUUUUCUUUAUCUAUUUAUGUAAUUUAUUCAGCUGGUCUGUAAUAAUUAUUUGUAAACGAAUAUUGGGGAUGACUAGUGAAAUGGGGAGGGUAGUUAUAUAUUUCUAUCAAUAUCAUUGGGGUAGAAAGCAUGUUAUAGGCUUUACCUUAUUUAUGCUUGCCAUAGAAUCCUUUCUUUAGGACCAAUACAUUGAAAUUGUGUCAUGCACUAGAUAUUAUGCUCUUAGGUUUCACGUAUACUGCUUCAGCAUCUCAUUUGACACUAAUACAUGUUUAUCACUUAGAAAUCCUUCUCCUAGGUUAAUAAACAACAUUAACAUAAAAGUUGUUACUCAUGCACAUCCUGAGAUCAUGUCUUGACAAUUCUCUAACUCUUUUUGUGCAUUUAGAGAUCAUGCUUUAGGAAUUCUGUUAAUUUAAAGAUUAUUGUCAUAAAAACUGUUGUUUCUGUGCAUUUAGAAAUCAUGUAUUAGGCACUCUGUUUGUAUUUGCUUAGCCACGCCUAGUUAAACUACUGAUUAUGAAAGGAUGUAAAAAUAGUCUCGCAUAUGAUCUUCUUGUUUCAAAUAAAACUUGUAACAAUCCAUGUAUUCUCAGCAUACUUUAGGUAAGAAACAACUCUUGAACUGUUAAUGAUUCUGUAACUAUUAUGCAUGAUCCCACGCCUAGGCAAGCCUUAGGUAAUCAAUCUGUGUAAAACUGGAGAACUGUUUUCGUUUGUGUUUAGUGCUUAACGACUUACGAGUUUAAAAUCAGAAGGCAAACUGAUUAGGACCUUACUGUCGAGUUUAUAAAAAACAAAGUUGCAUAUUUUUGUGCAUUGACAUCCAUUUAGAUAUCCUGUUUAGGUCUUUUCUCUAAUAAAAAAUGCUCUUGUUUAUGUUUGAGACAUGCUGCUUAUGUGCAUUAGUUGUGGAGGUAAACUUGGGCCUCUUGACUGCUUCUUUCUGCAUUUAUCUGUUAAGUCCUAUGUGUUCUUUCCUGUCACCUAGAAUUUUCUCCUUUUAAAAUAACUUAGGGGUUGUCUAGAACUUCCCAGACUUAGAGGUCCUAAACUCCCCUGGGACCAUAAGGAAGGGAUGGUAGCAGCAUGCAUAGAGUUCAUUAAAUAAAAACUCGUUUGAUAACCACUAAGGGGUGGAGUAAUUGGUAGAAAAAGGAUAUGAUGAUUACGUGCUAAUGUCACGUGUAGCCCCUCAUUGAGGAGUGUUUACCGGGCAUUGCGUGGGGUGAUCCAGUAAGCUAACCAACCUAGGACCCCUCCUUCUCCAAAAUUUCCUUUGCUUAAACUUUACUUUUCUAUAUGUACACAGUUUAUUCAAGUCUUUCCUUUUUCUCAUUAUUUGAGUCAUGUAAUGUCCAAAACCUGCUCUUAUUUGUAAUUAUGUGUUUAAACUAUUUAUUUGUUAAAGGACUAGUUCAUAAGUAUAAAUUCAGCUGGGACCCACCAUUGUGGACCGAGAGGGGUGCCUAACACCUUCCCCUCAAGGUUAUUUUGAGCCCUUACCCUAAAUCUCUGGUAAUGCAAACCAAUCUAAGAGUUAAUCAAUCUAGGUGUCCUAACACACCAUAAUCCGUUAGGUGGCGACUCUUUAAAACCCAAAUUCCCAAAAUGAAAAUGAGUUAUUACCCCCCAUGAAUGUUGGAACCCGGACUUUCUCCGUGGAGGAAAAAAGGUGGCGCAACACUUGCAUGCCCAAGAAAGCUCCUCACUCCUUUUACGAAAGUAGGAGGAUGGAGUUUUGAAAUCACUUCAAUCUUCGCUUUGUCCAUUUCGAUACCAUUCUUUAAGAUCUUAUGGCCGAGGACAAUGCCCUCCUCGACCAUAAAGUGGCACUUUUCCCUAUGAAGCACUAGAUUUGUCUCCUCACAUUAGGCCAAUACUUUGUCAAGAUUACCCAAAUAUUCUUCAAAAGAGUCACCCACAACACUGAAAUCAUCCAUGAACACUUCCAAGAAGUCCUCCACCAUGUUAGUAAAUAUAGCCAUCAUACACCGCUGAAAGGUAGCCCCAUGCAUUACACAAACCAAAUGGCAUCCUGGAAAAUGUAAAGGUACCAUACGGACAUGUGAAAAUGGUUUUCUCCUGGUCCUCUAGUGCAAUCAUAAUCUAGUUGUAACCUGAGUACCCAUCUAGAAAGCAAUCAUAGGAACGCCCAGCAAGUCUAUCCAGCAUUGGGUCAAGAAAAGGCAAUGGAAAAUGAAUUUUGUGGGUCACUUUGUUUAGCUUCUGGUAGUCCAUGCAUACCCUCCAUCCGGUGACAGUCCUAGUGAGGAUCAACUCAUUUUGCUCAUUUGUGACCACAAUCAUGCCCCAUUUUUCGGCACACAUUGGACCGGUGAAGUCCAUGAACUAUCCGAGAUAGGAUACACGACCCUUGCAUUUAGCCACUUGAUAACUUCCUUCUUGACAACCUCUUGCAUAGCCUCGUUCAACCUCCUUUGAUAUUCCACGGAGGGUUUGGCAUCUUCCUCAAGUAUAAUCUUGUGCAUGCAAAAGGUGGGGCUUAUCCCUGAAUAUCAGGUAGAGUCCAUCCAAUUUCCCUCUUCCUUCUUUGAAGCACCUCAAGGGUGGCAUCUACCUGCACAUUAGUAAGGCAAGAAGAAAGAAUAAUAGUAAAGUUGAACAAGGUCCCAAUAAUUCAUACCUGAGGUGUGAAGGUAAAGGCUUCAACUCCAAUAUGGGAGGUUCCUCAAUUGAGGGCUUUGUUGGUGGAGUUUUUCUGUUCUCAAGAUCCAAGGAGAGUUUAUGGGGCUCAUAGGAGUAAGAACCCAUUCUGUGCAAGGCAUUGACACAAUCUAUCAAGCCUUCAUCCUCGGUCGCAUCAUGGUUCAACAGUACUGCUUCCAAAGGAUCCUCCACAUGGCACUUGUGUCAUCAACAAUCACCUCCAUCACCAGAUCCAUAAAAGAACAAACCUCAGUACUAUUCGGCUGCCGUAUUGAUUUGCACACGUGGAAGACAACUUUUUCGUCACCCACCCGGAAUGCGAGCUCCCCUGCUUCCACAUCAACCAGUGCCUUCCCUAUUGCAAGGAAAGGUCUUCCCAAUAUUAUCGGCACCUCAUAGUCGACUUCGCAGUCCAGAAUCACAAAAUCAGCAGGCAAAUAAACUUGUCCACCCGAACAAGAACAUCAUCAAUAAUACCAAGCGGCCUCUUCUUUGUUCUAUUGGCCAUUUGCAAUCUCAUUGAAGUAGCUCUCGGUUGACCAAUACCCAAAGUUUUGAAUAUGUAAUAAGGCAUCAAAUUUAUACUAGCUCCCAAAUCACACAAUGCCUUUGCAAAAUCCGCACUCCCAAUGGUACAUAGAAUGGUAAAUGCGCGGGGAUCUUCAAGCUUUGGAUCCACCAAGUGCACAAUAGCACUCACUUGAUGAGUCAUUUUGAUGAUCUCACAAUCCAUAGAUCUCUUUUUAGUUACCAAGUCUUUCAUAAACUUGGCGUAUACCGGCAUUUGCUCGAGAGCUUCCACGGGCACAUUGAUUGACAAACUUUUCAUCAUCUCAAUAAACUUCUUGAACUGGUUUUCACUUUUUUGCUUUGCAAGUCUUUGAGGGUAAGGUGGAAUAGGCCUUGGCAAAGGAGCCUUGGCUUUAGGCAUCACCGUUUCCGGCAUGUCUAUCACGUGUUCCCUAGACGGGUUCACAUCAUUUUGAGGCUCUCCCUCAAUAUCCUAAAUAUCAAUUCUUACCUCACCAUCCAACUUCUCUUCACUCACUUGUUCAACAACUAUAGGAUCAUCAUCAUUUUGCACUUCAACCUCAUCACACAUAACUCCCUUUUGCUUAGAGGUACUUGUUUUACCAUAUCUACCGCUCCUAGUGGUCACGCCAUUGCAUGGUUGGUAUUUUCCCACCCUUCGAGUUUACUACCGUGUCACUAGGUAGUGAUUCCUUAGGGUGAGGGUUCAAAGAUUGCAGAAUCUAGCCAAGUUGAACCUCUAGAUUGUGAAUAGAAGUAUUAUGGGGCGGAAAUUGGGCAUCAGAGUCGACUCUCUUUUUCAUCAUUUGCUCAAACAUCGACUCAAUCCUUCCCAUCUCAUUUUUUGACGAGCUAGGUCCUUGGGAUGGAAAUGGAGGUGUAUUAUUUAGCUGUUGAAACAUUGGAGGCCUUUGACAAUCCGGCCCCCGAUUACCUUGAUUACCAUUAUUCCAACCUCAUUGGUUGUUGUUGCCACCCCAAUUGUUGUUGUUGCCCCAGUUCUGAUUGUUGUUCCCCCAAUUGAUGAAAUUGUUGUUGUUAUUGUUCCAAUUUUCUUGUCCUUGGUUACCACAAUUCUGAUUAUUCCCUUACAAUCUCCAUUGUUGAUUUGGAGCAUUACCAUAUUGUCCUUGAUAGUUAUUGGCAUACAAAGCCUCUUCCCUUUGCUCAUAGUACCCAUCAUCCUGGUUGUAACCACUAUCACCUUGAUCAAACUGAUCUUGAUUUCUUUGCACUUGUUGACCAGACUGUCUCCUCUUGUUCACCAAUAGAUUAACUCUUUUUCUAUUAUGUUUACUUGCUUUGGUCCCUGAAUCUGUUGAAGUUGUGCUUUGGCUAACUGGUUCAUGGUUGUUGUCAACUUAGCUAUGGCUUGUCCGUGGUCCUGAAGUUCCUUGUGAAGAUUUAUGACAUAAGGAUCCCCCUGAGGAACAUUCGCCCGGCUAUGCUAGGCUGAUGAAGUGAUAGCCAUCUCAUAAAAAAUCUCGCAGGCCUCAGCAUAAGAGGGCUUCAUGAAAUUACCCCUUGCUAAUUUGUUUACCACACAUUGAUUGGUCAUGUUUAUACCCUGAUAAAACGUCGGUUGGAUUAUUGCUUCGGUCAUAUCAUAUUGUUGUUGGGGCAUUCCUUGACUAUAGUUCUAUAUCUAUCCCAGAUUUUAUGAAGGGGUUCAUUUGGUUCCUGUUUAAAUGUUAAGAUCUCAUCUCUUAAUUUAGCCAUAUGUCCCGGUGAGAAAAACUUGGCUAUAAACUUGUCGGCCAACUCAUCCCACAUAGUGAUAGAAUAAUUGGGGAGUCUUUCGAGCCAGUCCAAAGCUUUCCCUCUAAGUGAGAAAGGGAACAAUCUCAAUCUUAAUGCAUCCUUCGACACAUUUGUUUGCUUGCUACCCCAGCAUGUAUCCAUAAAUCCCUUUAGAUGUUUAUAUGCAUUCUGAUGGGGAGCACUUGUGAAGUACCCUCUUUGCUCCAAUAAGGUCAGCAUGACAUUUGUAAUCUGGAAAUUGCUAGCCCUGAUCCAAGGUGGGACAAUUGCACUUGCGUACCCUUCAUUUGGAAGCACUCGAGGAGCCACUCGUAGAGGAGGGUCGAGAAUGUUUUCAUUAGCCUGGCGACCUCUUCUUUGACCUUGAGGUACUAGAGGUACCUCAUUGUCACCAUUAUCAUCUAUCUCCUCCCCCGGGAUAACAUUUUCGAUAGGAUCAUUGUUUGCCAUUUUGUACCUGAAUCGAUCAACUCACACAAGUUAGUAAAACAGAAGGAAAGAAAAACAAAACACACAGCUAGUCAGAUAGAUAGCCAAAAACCAUUUAACUCCACAGCAACUGCGCCAAAAGUGAUCAUCUCCAACUCUACACCACAAUAUAAUGGGGGAGGAGUGGUCGAUAAAGCUUUUAACCGAAAGGUCGGGAUCGAAUCCACAUAGAGUAAAUAUAGGUUUGGAAUCGGGUUUCUAUCCAAUCUAGCUAUGUGUGUUGUUCUUAAUUGCACUUCUAAACAUGUUUGGAUUUGUUACUAUUCUAAUUUAAUGCUAAUGAAUUCUGAAAAGAAUCUAAGUACAAUAUUUUUUUGUAAGGGUUUUCUCAAGUGAUAAAAGGCACUAGGGAAGUGACUUAUACCUAGGCGAGUAUCUAAUGGGAUCUAAAAUUUAGUACAAGCCGCUGCGAGAUCGGAAGAGCGUNNNNNNNNNNNNNNNNNNNNNNNNNNNNNNNNNNNNNNNNNNNNNNNNNNNNNNNNNNNNNNNNNNNNNNNNNNNNNNNNNNNNNNNNNNNNNNNNNNNNNNNNNNNNNNNNNNNNNNNNNNNNNNNNNNNNNNNNNNNNNNNNNNNNNNNNNNNNNNNNNNNNNNNNNNNNNNNNNNNNNNNNNNNNNNNNNNNNAUACCUCUNGGUAGAUUGAGCGACUUUGCCCUAAUUGGCUUUCUCAAGACCAAUUGGGUGUUCAAACAAUACAAGUAAAAUUGGCUCAAGUCGGGUAUUACUAUCUCUAGGUUUAACCAUUUAAUUGGGGCUAUCAUUCUCUGAGUGCACUUCAAUUCCUUGUUAGCCUGAAUUUCCUAGACUUAAUCCCUCUUUUCAAGAAGAGUAUAGGUCAUAGAGACAUGAAUUAGUGUUUGCAACCAUCAAUUCUACAAUUAAAACAUGAAACAAGCUAAAUAUCACUAACCCAUAAAUAAUUAAGCCCUAAAAUAGAAGGCCCAUUAAAUACCCACACUAGGGUUGGGUCACAACCCUAGCUAAUGGGUUUAGCUACUCAUAAUAAAGGUAGAAAUCAAAGAUGAAGAUGAAAUAUAAGCCAUAAAAGUCACUUACAAGAAGAAAAUCUAAGAUUAAUGACUAAAGAUGUUCUAAAAUUAUUCUAAGUAGUAAAAUAUGGCUGCUCACAAGCUCCACAAUACAAAAGAUACCCUAAAAAUCUGAAAAAGAUCUAUUUAUACACAGCUAAAAUUACUGGACAAAAAUGCCCCUAUGGAGGUUCUGCUGAUAGCAAAAAACUGAUCGCCUCAAUGCUUGGACUUCCGUGACCGCGCAAAAGCAAGUGCGGACCACAGUUCUUCUCUUUUGAGCUUGGUCUGGACUUGAUUCCGCUAGGAGCGGAAAAGCAACCGCCUCAGCAUUAUCUUCAACCGUGGUCACGAAAUAUGUUCGCGGACCACGCUUUUUUCCAGUUGAGCUCCAAUCUCAAGUCGUCUAUUUCUCAAUUCCACUGAGGGAGAAAUUUGGAUCGCGGAUGCGUCAAGUAAGUCCGCUGCCGCGCUAUUUCGCCAUGGUCAGUGGUCUCUGAUGCCUUCAAAACUCUCUCUCUAAACCUCAUUUCCACUGGGAGAAUAAUUGUGGUCGCCCCUGUGGUUGUCCUUCCGUGGCCGCACUCUUUCAUUGUUGUCAACGCUUUUUCUCUCAGCUUUGAGCUUGUGCAGAUUUCAUUCCUUUAUGAGCUGGUUAUGACUUUCUUGCUUUAUUUUGACCAAAUCCUGCAAACAAGCACAAUACGUCAGUUUUCGGGAAUACUUUUACAUAUUUUUUAUCCAAAACCUAAGCAAAAGAGAGCAUAAGAUAGGCUAGAAUCCAUAAUUAUCAACUCUCACAGCACAAAAAAAAGAUGAAGAACAGAGUGAGACUCCACAGGUAGAAAAGUCCUCUAAGGUUGGUAUUGAUCAAUCUUCAAGUACUCAUGUCUCGGAGUUUUCUGCACCCCUGGAAUCUCUAGAGAAAGAGGCCAUAGAAAACAUAUUGACUAUAUCUGCUGAAGGAAUAAUGUAUGGAGUCACCCCUGCCAUGUCUGAGACUUAGGAGGAAGAGACUCAGUCAUUGGUGGGAGAAGAAACUGUGGUGCUCUUUGAAAAUCCUACACCAGAAGAAACUAUUGGGACCCUUCUUGAAGGACUUGACCCCUCUCCUGAGGAAACAUGUCAAGGAUCCUCUUUCCAGGUCAGUUCUGACCCUGCUCCUUAUUCUCACUUUGAUGUUGAGCCUUUGGAAAUUUUGGCUCCUGCUAUGAGGUCUAGUGAUGAAGAAGAUCAAGAUAAUGUUGCUCUAGAUGCGCUCAUUGCCAGAAGGAGGUCAGUAGCCACUCCUGAACCCUCUUCUAAGUGACCUACUACUAGGUUGCAGGCAAAUAAGGCUCUUGAAUCUGCCCUGCAAAAAAAUAAAAGGAGUAGCAUGAAGAAGAAAAGGAGGCUGGUGAAAAAUGGAGAGGUUGUGUGUGACAAGAACAUCCCUGUUGUGGAAAUAGAUGAGGAAGCUGCAGAGGAACCAAGUUCCUUAGUCAAGAGAUCUCAUAAAAAAGUGAUCUGCUAAAAAUGCUUCAGAAUAAGGUGUUGCAAUUCCAAGUUCAAAGUCAGUGAAAAGUAGUGACAAGUUAAAAGAAGUAGUGGCUGAAGAGUCACUGUCUGAUGAGGAUAUCCUAGUGAAAUCAAGUGGAAAAGGUAAGUCGAGUGUGAAGUCUGGUAAAAGAAAGGUGGAAACUGCAAGGGAACCCAAAUCUGCAAAGAGAGUGAAACAUGAAAGUAUGUCUGGUAAAGAAAGGUUGAGGUACCAAAAGGUUUUGUGGGGUCGCACUUUUGACCCAAAAAUAUCUGAGAUGGCUGGUAUGAGGCAAAUAGUAGAUAUGGUCAAAUUUCAACAGUGGGGACAUCUGUUCAAAGUAGAUGUACCCAAGGUCUAUAAGGAUGAGGUCCAAAAUUUCUAUGCAGACCUCUUUACUGUUGAAUCUAACCAUAUCUAUGCUCUGGUCAAUGGAGUUGAUAUUGUUUUGGAUGCUGCUCUGCUUGGAGACAUACUUAAAGUUCUUGCUUAUGGUAUGUCCUCUUAAAGGAUGUGUGUGGCUCAAAUUUUAGACAUGCUAUUGUACAGGAGGGAGCAGUUCAGCAUGGGGAAUGGGUGCAUAAGAAAGCUCUGCUUCCUAUUUAUCAGCUCUUGUUUGAGUUGGUAAACAAGGUCUUUCUACCUCGUGCUGAGAGGAGAUCUAUCACUUCCAAGUCUGAUCUGUAUUUGAUGGAAGUACUGGAUGGGUUCCGAUCUGUUAGUCUGCCAGCCAUAAUGAUUAACCACAUGCAAAAGGUGGAAACUUUCAAAGAUGGAAACCAUGGUCUUCCUUAUGGAUUUCUUCUUACGCAUGUUUUCAAGUUCUUUGAUGUGUCUUUGGGAUAGCCCAAGAUAGGGACCAAGAAGCAGACCUUCUCUCAAACCACUUUGGAGGAAUGUGAAUGUGUUGAAAAAGGUGGAGGGGUAGGAAGCACUUCAACAAUCUCUCAGCUUAUCAAUACCUAGAAUAGUGCUACUGAGGAGAUCAGAAAGUUGAAGGCAAGGAAUGCCAUUUUGGAGAAUCAGCAGGCUCAAGAGGCACCAGGGUCAAAUGCAGAGAUUGCUCGUCUGACCAAAGAAAAUGUUGAUCUCAGGCAACAGGUUGAGAACCUGAAGGAGAAACUGCUCGCAGAGCAAAUGUCGGCCAAUGCUCGAAUUGAUCUCGUUCUCAACACUCUUGCUACAGCUUCUAAGCCCUCUUCCUCUAGUGUCCCCUAGGCAAAUCCUUCAGUGACCCAUUUAGUUAACCUCUUUUGAUGUGAUGACUUGUGGUAGUUGUUUUUGUUUUCUUUUUUUUUGGUAUGGAUGGAAUCCACCUGCACUUCUCCCGCUGUUAACAGUCCAAAUUUUCCAUUGCUUUAAUGGCAAAGGCUUAUGUUUUAUAAAUAUUAAUGAAAACUCGCCUCUUUUGCUAUAACCGCUUAUGUUUCUCUACUUCUCUUCUCUAUCAUGUGGUGUACACAUAGGUGGCAUGUGUUAGCUAGGCUGGACUUCUUUAUGCUGAUUGCUUGCUUGUGUAUUUUUAAUGAUGCCAAAAGGGAGAAGUAUAAUUGAAACAGGGUUGAAACAGGGAUCUGAUUAAGGGGGAAGUAUAAAGUUAGGGGGAACUUAUGAAGUUCCUGUUGCUUCAUCUGGUUUAUUUUUCUCUGAAAAUGGGUUAUCAAUUUCUAAGUUUGUCAUCAUCAAAAAGGAAAAAAUUGAUGGGUUUAUAGUACCUUAGCUUUAUAUUUUGAUGAUCUAACAAAUUUACUGUCAAAGAACCAGAUAAGGGACCUGACACACUUGGUACACAACUCAAUCAACGGACUCGAGCUAAUAUGAGUUGCUAUGACUUUAGAAGAAAAAGAAUUAACAUAGCGACCUGAUCCCCUUGUAUUUCCCUGACAGCAGUACGAAGUCAACUGUCUACAGCUGGAAAGUGAUUGCCUGCACUGUACACGCAAACAGUGCAGCACAAUACUGCAAACACUCCCCUUUGACUAACCAAGUGAUUACAUCAUUUAAGUAAUGUCAUCCAAGUUGUAUUAACAAGUUUAUUACAACAAAACAUCACUUGAACAUUUGAGAAUUCGUUCAAGCUCUUCAACCGUAACUCGAUCAAGCAUUCAAUUCUCAAGUGCAUCAAGAACAAAGUACAAUGCUGUUAUGGACCAGUUCCUAAAGCUAGUCUCUUGUAUGUCCUUAGUUGAGUUGUAACUUUGUAAUUGUUCUUUAUUGUAAUUCCUACUUUGCUUAUUGAUAACUAGGGAUUCUAGCCUAUUUUAUGCUCCUUUUUUCUUAGGUUUUGGAUUAAAAGUGUGUACAAGUAUUCCUGAAAGCUAACUUAUUGUGCUUGUUUGCAGUGUUUGGUUAAAAAGAGACAAGAAAGUCAAAACUAGCUCAUAAAGGAGUAAAACCUGCACAAGUUCAAAGCUUAGUCAAAAGGGAGUUGACAGCGCAGAAAUAGACGCGGACGUGGAGGGUCCACCGCUGAGGCGGUCUUGAUUACGCUCUCAGCGGUGACAAGGUUACGAGAGUUGUAUUUUGGGCUUAACAAGUUACCGCUACCCACGGUGAAAUUGCAUGGCAGUAGUGUCUCUGACGCGGCCGCGGUCAAGUUCUCACUUUCAGCGGAAGUGAGAAUCGGAGAACUAAGUCUGGAGCUCAAAUUGAAGACCGCGGUCCGCGCUCAUAUUUCGAAGCCACGGUUGGAGGAACGAUAAGGCGGUAGUUUUUCUGCUCCUAGCAGACUCAAGUUUAGAACCAGCCAACAAGAGAAGAACUGCGGUCCGGGCAUGCUUUUGCGUGGCCGUGGUAGUCCAAGUGCUGAGGCGGCCCAUUUUCCGCUGUCAGUGAAAUCUCCGUAGGGGCAAUUUUGUCCAAAAAAUUUAGCUGUGUAUAAAUAUAUUUUUUUUCCAGAUUUUUAGGUCAUCUGUUGUUUUAGAGAGCAUGUGAAAAGCCGUUUUUAGCCUUUUUGAGUAAUUUUAGAACAUCUUUAGCAAUUAAUCUUAGAUUUUAAUCUUGUAAUUACUUUUCAUGGCUUAUAUUUCAUCUCCAUCUUUGAUUUCUUCUUUGAUUAUGAGUAGCUAAACCUAUUAGCUAGGGUUGUGCCCCAACCCUAGUGUGGGUAUUUAAUGGGUCUUUAAUUUUAGGGAUUAAAUAUUUAUGGGUUAAUGAUAUUUAACUUGAUUUAUACUUUAAUUGUUGAAUUGGUUGUUGCAAACACUGAUUUGUGCCUUUUUGACUUAGGCUCUUCUUGAGAAAGAGAGGUUAAGUCUAGGAAAUUCAGGCUAACAAGGAAUUAGUGAGAAUUCAAGAGAUUGAUAGCCCCAAUUAAAGGGUUAAACCUAGAGAUAGUAAUAUCUGACUUGAGCCAAUUUUGCUUGCAUUGUUUAAACACCCAAUUGGGCUUGAGAGAGCCAAUUAGGGCAAAGUCACUCAAACUACCGAGAGGUAUAGAGUGAUCAACUAUGUGCAAUGGUUAUAUCAUGAUUCCACUCACAAUAAUUUUUCCCUAAGGUUUAGACCCCGUUAGAUAUCCACCUAGGUGUAAGUAACUUCCCUAGUGCCUUUAUAACAAUUGAGAAAACUUUACAAAAAUAUCAUGCUUAGCUUAUUUUCAUUCUUCAUUAGUGAUUAAAAGUAGAAUAGUAACCAAAACAAAGCAUGAUUAGAAGUGUAAUUAAGAACAUCGCACAUAGCUAGAUUAGAUAGGAACCCAAUUCGAAAUCAAUAUUAUCUCUCUGUGGAUUCGAUCCUGACUUUUCGGGUAAAAGCUGCAUCGACCGUGCUUGCCAUUCUAUAGUGGCAUAGGGUUGGAGCCGAUCACUUUUUGGCUCCGUUGUCGGGGAGGUAAGCGGUUUUGGCUAUCUAACUGAUAGUUUUGUGUCUUGUUAUUCUUUCCUUGUGUUUUACAAAUUUUGUGCGUCAAUUGCUUCAGGUACAAAAUGGCAAACAAUGAUACUCUUGGAAAUGUUCUCCCGGUGGAGGAGGUAGAUGAUAACGGUGAAGAUGAGGUGCCUUUAGUAGCUCAAGGACAAAGAAGAGGCCUCUAGGUCAAUGAAAACAUUCUAGACCCUUCCCCAGCUCCUCCAAGAGUCGCUCCUCGGAUGCUUCCAAAUGAAGGAUAUGCAAGUGCAAUUGUCCCACCCCGGAUCCGGCCGGGCAAUUUCCAAAUUACAAAUGUGAUGUUGACUGUAUUAGAGUAGUGAGGGUACUUUACAGGCGCUCCCUAUCAGAAUGCAUAAAAACAUCUUAAAGGCUUUGUGGAUACCUGCUGGGGAAGCAAACAGACCAAUGUGUCGGAGGAUGCAUUGAGAUUGAGAUUGUUCCCUUUCUCACUUAAAGGGAAAGCUUUGGACUGGCUCAAAAGGCUUCCCAAUCAUUCCAUCACUACGUGGGAUGAGUUGGCAGACAAGUUUAUAGCUAAGUUUGUUUUGUCGGGACAUAUGGCGACAUUGAGAGAUGAGCUUUUGGCCUUCAAACAGGAACCUAAUGAACCACUUCAUGAGAUCUAGGAGAGAUAGCGGACAAUAGUGAAAGAAUGUCCAAACAAUGACAUGACCGAAGCAAUAAUCCAGCGGACAUUCUACCAUGGCAUUAACACGAUCAAUCAGUGUGUAGUGAACCAGCUAGUAGGGGGNNNNNNNNNNNNNNNNNNNNNNNNNNNNNNNNNNNNNNNNNNNNNNNNNNNNNNNNNNNNNNNNNNNNNNNNNNNNNNNNNNNNNNNNNNNNNNNNNNNNNNNNNNNNNNNNNNNNNNNNNNNNNNNNNNNNNNNNNNNNNNNNNNNNNNNNNNNNNNNNNNNNNNNNNNNNNNNNNNNNNNNNNNNNNNNNNNNNNNNNNNNNNNNNNNNNNNNNNNNNNNNNNNNNNNNNNNNNNNNNNNNNNNNNNNNNNNNNNNNNNNNNNNNNNNNNNNNNNNNNNNNNNNNNNNNNNNNNNNNNNNNNNNNNNNNNNNNNNNNNNNNNNNNNNNNNNNNNNNNNNNNNNNNNNNNNNNNNNNNNNNNNNNNNNNNNNNNNNNNNNNNNNNNNNNNNNNNNNNNNNNNNNNNNNNNNNNNNNNNNNNNNNNNNNNNNNNNNNNNNNNNNNNNNNNNNNNNNNNNNNNNNNNNNNNNNNNNNNNNNNNNNNNNNNNNNNNNNNNNNNNNNNNNNNNNNNNNNNNNNNNNNNNNNNNNNNNNNNNNNNNNNNNNNNNNNNNNNNNNNNNNNNNNNNNNNNNNNNNNNNNNNNNNNNNNNNNNNNNNNNNNNNNNNNNNNNNNNNNNNNNNNNNNNNNNNNNNNNNNNNNNNNNNNNNNNNNNNNNNNNNNNNNNNNNNNNAGAUACUUCCUCAACUUGGCAAAGUUGAGCUAAUGUGCCACAGGGUGAUCCCACUGUCAUUCACCUGCAUAAAGAGCUCCACGACCAUGGCUAGGCAAUAGCAGAGUUAACUACAACAAUGAACCAAUUGGCAAAAGCUCAAUUGCAACAAGUUCAAGCGCCGAGACAAGUAAAUGCUAUGGAAGGUGUCAACAUGUUGGUCAACAAGUGGCGACAAAAAGGUCAAUAAGGUCAAGGUAGUCCGGAUCAAUAUGAGUAGGGUAACAGUGGUUUCAACCAAGAUGAGGGGUAUGCUGAGCAAAGUGAAGAAGUCCAGUACGUGAACAAUUACCAAGGACAAAGGGGAAAUGCUCCUAACCAACAACAACAGUGGAGAUCCCAAGGAAACUAGGGGAAUCAAAACCAACAGGGAAAUAGCAACUAGGGGAACAACAAUUAGAAUUGGGGUAAUCAGAAUAACCAGGGCAACUGGAGUGGCAACAACAACAAUUGGGGAGGAAACAACAACCAGCGGGGGUGGAAUAAUAGAACUCAAGGAAAUCAGGGGCAAGACUUUCAAAGACCUCCUAUGUAUCAACAACCAAACAACCUGCCUCUAUUUCCAUCGCAAGGUCCUAGCUCGUCAAAUAAUGAGAUGGGAAGGAUCGAGAUGAUGUUUGAACAAAUGAUGAAAAGAAUGUCGACUCUUAUGCCCAGUUGGCAUCCCAUAAUACUUUAAUACGAAACUUGGAGGUUCAAUUUGGCCAAAUUUUGCAAUCUUUGAACACUCGCCUUAAGGGGGCUCUACCUAGUGAUACGGUACUAAACCCAAAGAGUGGGAACAACACCGGUCAUGCAAUGGUGGUGAUCACUAGAAACGGUCGAGGUGGUGAUGUGAAUACAUCCAAGCAAAAGGAAGUUGUGAGUGAUGAGGUUGAAGUGCAUGAUGAUGAUGUUCCUAUAGUUGAUGAGCAAGUGAGUGAAGAGAAUUUGAAUGCGGAAGUGAGAAUUGAUAUUCAUGAUAAUAAGGUGGAGACUCAAGAUGACGUGAACCCGUCUAGGGAACACGUAAUAGAUAAACCGGAAACAAUAGUGCCCAAGGAUAAGGCUCCCUUACCAAGGAUUCCUCCACCUUACCCUCAAAGACUUGCGAAGCAAAAUAAUGAAAACCAAUUUAAAAAGUUUAUUGAGAUGAUGAAAAACAUGUCAAUCAAUGUUCCUUUGGUGAAAGCUCUUGAGCAAAUGCUGGGUUACGCUAAGUUUAUGAAAGACUUGGUGACUAAAAAAAGAUCUAUGGAUUGUGAGACCAUCAAAAUGACUCAUCAAGUAAGUGCAAUUUUGCACUCGAUGGCUCCAAAGGUUGAAGAUCCCGGCGCUUUCACCAUUCCAUGUACCAUUGGGAGUGUGGAUUUUGCAAAGGCAUUGCGUAAUUUGGGAUCAAGUAUCAAUUUAAUGCCUUACUCCGUGUUAAGAACUUUAGGUAUUGGUCAACCUAGAGCUACUUCAAUGAGAUUGCAAAUGGUGGAUAGAACAAUAAAGAGGCUGCUUGGUAUUAUUGAUGAUGUUCUUGUCCGGUGGACAAGUUUAUUUUUCAUGUUGACUUUGUGAUUCUGGACUGCGAAGUAUACUAUGAGGUGCUGAUAAUAUUGGGAAGACCUUUCCUAGCAAUAGGGAAGGCAUUGGUUGACAUGGAAGCAGGGGAGAUCACCUUCCGGGUAGGUGACGAAAAAGUUAUCUUUCAUGUGUGCAAAUCAAUGAGGCAGUCGAUUAGUACUGAAGUUUGCUCUUUUGUUGGAUCUUGUCACGGAGGUGAUAGUUGAUAAUACUAGUGCCAUGGACAAUGUGGAGGAUCCUUUAGAAGUAGUAUUUUUUAACCUUGAUGUAAAUGAAGAUGAAGGUCGGGUGGAGUGUGUCAAUGCUUUGCAUGGAAUGGGCUCUAACUCUUAUGAGCCUCGUAAGCUCUCUUUGGAUUUUGAGAACAAAAAGACUCCCCCAACAAAGCCCUUAAUUGAGAAACCUCCCAUUUUGGAAUUGAAGCCUUUGCCCUUACACCUCAGGUAUGAAUUCUUAGGCCCUAGUUUAACUAUACCUAUUAUUCUUUUGUCUUGUCUUACUAAUGUGCAGGUAGAUGUAACACUGGAGGUGCUCCAAAGAAGAAAGAAAGCAAUUGGAUCGUCUCUCUAGCUGAUAUUCGGGGAAUAAGCCCCGCCUUUUGCAUGCACAAGAUUAUACUUGAAGAUGAUGCCAAGCCCUCCGUGGAACGUCAAAGGAGGUUGAACGAGGCUAUGCAAGAGGUUGUCAAAAAAGAGAUGAUCAAGUGGUUAAAUGUAGGGUUUGUAUACCCCAUCUCGGAUAGUUCUUGGACUUCUCCAGUGCAAUGUGUGCCGAAGAAGGGUGGUAUGAAUGUGGUCACCAAUGAGCAAAAUAAGUUGAUUCCUACCAGGACUGUCACCGGAUGGAGGGUGUGCAUGGACUACCGCAAGCUAAAUAAAGUGACCCGCAAAGAUCAUUUUUCAUUGCCCUUUCUUGACCAGAUGCUAGAUAGACUUGAUGGGCAUGCCUUCUACUAUUUUCUGGAUGGGUACUCAUGUUACAACUACAUUUUCAUUGCUCCGGAAGAUUAGGAGAAAACUACAUUCACGUGUUCAUAUGGCACAUUUGCAUUUCCUAGGAUGCCAUUUGGUUUAUGUAACGCAUCGGCUACCUUCCAGAGGUGUAUGAUAGCUAUAUUUACUGACAUGGUGGAGGACUUCUUAGAAGUGUUCAUGGAUUAUUUCAAUGUUGUAAGUGACUCCUUUGAUGAGUGUUUUAAGAAUCUUGACAAAGUGCUAGCCUAGUGUGAAGAGACAAAUCUUGUGCUUAACUGGAAAAAAUGUCACUUUAUGGUCAAGGAGGGCAUUCUCCUCGACCAUAAGAUCUCAAAGAACGGAAUAGAGGUGGAUAAGGUGAAAAUUGAAGUGAUUUCAAAGCUUCCUCCUCCUACUUCAAUCAAGGGGGUAAGGAGUUUUCUUGGGCAUGCGGGAUUCUACCGAAGAAUCAUCAAAGACUUUUCUAAGGUAGUGAAUCCUUUGUGCAAAUUAUUGGAAAAGGAUGCCAAGUUCAUGUUUAAUGAGUAAUGCAUGAAAGCGUUUGAACUUCUCAAGUACAAAUUGACAACAGUCCCAUUAAUAUCGCACCCAAUUGUAGCUUACCUUUUGAGCUCAUGUGUGAUACAAGUGAUGUUGUGGUAGGAGCGAUCCUGGGUCAAAGAGUAAACAAGAUGUUUCAUCCGGUGUGUUAUGCAAGCAAAACAAUGAAUGAUGCUCAGGUUAAUUACACGGUGACGGAAAAAGAGUUGUUAGCAAUUGUGUUUGCAAUGGAGAAGUUUAGGCCUUAUCUCAUGGGUGUCAAGGUGAUAGUUCAUACUGAGCAUGCAACACUCUGCUACUUGAUGACAAAGAAGGAUUCUAAGGCUCGGUUGAUGAGAUGGGUUCUAUUGCUUCAAGAGUUUGACCUUCAGAUUGUUGAUCGAAAAUAGAGUGAAAAACCAAGUGGCGGACCGCUUGUCCCACUUGGAGGAGGAGGGGAGGCCCCGUAUGGCCUCGAAAUUAAUGAAUCAUUCCCUGAUAAGCAACUCCUCUCUGUAUCUGUGAAUAGCAUGCCAUGGUUCACGGAUGUUUCCAACUUUCUUAUGACUGGUAUUGUUCCGCGUGAGCUCUCUUCUAACCAAAGGAAUAAGCUUAAACAGGAUAGCUUGGACUACUACUGGGAUGAGCCUUACUUGUUCAAAAUCUGUAAUGAUGGUGUGAUUCGGAGAUGUGUUCUGGAAGAGGAGCAAAUGAGUAUUCUGGAUGCUUGACAUUCCUCUCCCUACGGUGGUCAUCAUGGUGGGGCGAGGACAGCUUCAAAGGUGUUUAGCUGUGGUUUUUAUUGGCCUACAUUGUACAAGGAUGCGGGUGAGCUUGUGAUGAGUGUUAGGGAGCAGGUGGAAUUUCAAAGAAGGAUAAAAUGCCUCUCACCACUAUUCUUGAGGUUGACAUAUUUGAUGUGUGGGGCAUUGACUUUAUGGGACCUUUUGUGAUUUCACGUGGCAACACAUACAUUUUGGUGGCUGUUGAUUAUAUUUCCAAAUGGGUUGAGGUCGUGACUUUACCCAACAACGAGGCCCAGAGUGUUGUGGGUUUUCUCAAGAAGAAUAUUUUUACUCGAUUUGGACUCCUAGAGCAACCAUCAGUGAUGGGGGUUCUUAUUUCUGCAAUAAGGCAUUUGACACUUUGCUUACAAAGUAUGGUGUCAAUCACAAGGUUUCAACCCCUUACCAUCCUCAGGCUAGUGGGCAAGUUGAGGUUUCCAACACGGAGAUUAAGAGAAUAUUGUCAAAGAUUGUCAAUGCAAAUAGGACUGAUUGGUCAAAGAAAUUGGAUGAUGCUUUGUGGGCUUACAGGACUGCUUACAAGACUCUGAUUGUAUGUCUCUGUACCACUUGGUAUUUGGGAAAGCAUGCCAUCUCCCAGUUGAGUUAGAGCACAAAGCCAUGUGGGCUUUUAGAAAGUUAAAUCUUGAAUGGGAUGUUGCAGCAGAUCUCUGGGUAGAGCAACUCAAUGAGCUUGAUGAGUUCCGAUUUUAUGCCUAUUCCAGCUCAUCCUUAUAUAAGGAAAAGAUGAAGUACUUACAUGACAAUUAUUCUCGUAGCAAGGAAUUCAAGGAAGGUAACUUGGUUCUCUUAUUCAACUCCCGGUUACGACUGUUCCCGAGAAAGCUCAAGUCAAAAUGGAGUGGACCUUUUGAGGUGGUGCUUGCAACUCUAUUUGGUGCUCUUGAUUUGAAAAACAAAAAUAGUGAAAUCUUUAGAGUUAAUGGGCACAGAGUGAAGCACUAUCUUGGAAAGUUUGAUGACACCCACGUGGUGGCAAUAAACCAUCUCAAAUAAUUGAUGGUAACCUGCGUCGUGCCGCGAUGUUAAAUCAGACGCUUCUUGGGAGGCAACCCAUGUGUUUGGGAGGCAACCCAUGUGUUUUUCUUUUUUUUGAUUUUCUUCUUAGUGUAGGAUUUGUUUUGAACUAACUGGUUGUGAGAUGUGUGAAGUAAUGUUUGAUGCAGUGCAGGACUAAGCUGGAAAAUUUUUGCAAUAGUCUGAAGUUGGACCGCUGACAAUGCUCCAUUUUCUGCGGCCAGCGGUGGCCGUAUUGUGGAGGCAUGAUUUGAUGGCAGAUGCGGGAUUGAAAAAUUUGAAAAGAGACUUCUUUGAAGUUUCAUCCGCAUCCGCGAUGCAUUUUUCGCGGUCAGCGGUGCCUGUCCGUGGACGCAUGCCAUUUUCCACUCUCAGCGGAGGUUUUAAACAUGCAGCCCUUCUGUUUGUCGAUAGCAUAGACCAUGGUGAUUUUUCGCGGCCGCGCCAGGUGAGUUUUGUAGGGCACAAGGUGUUUUCUAUAAAUAUGAGAUCAUGAAGCUUUUUACCCUUUUCGAUCUUUUCUCUCUCAAAGCAAAAAAUUUCGUUGUUCAUCUGAGCCCUAAUCUGCACAAACACAAGAUUAAAGUUUAUUCUCAUCACUCAUUACACAUCUGGUAAUCUCACUUCCUAAUUGUUCUUUGAUUUGUACUUAUUUUUCUUUUAUCUAUUAGUUUUUAUCUCUUCUCCCUCUUUUUCGUUUAAUUUUAACUUAGGGUUCCUUAGUGUUAAUUAAAUUAGGCUCAAAUAGUUAAGGUUGAUUAAUUAAUAGCUAGUUGGGGUUAACAUGUAGAUGAUAUUGCUAAAUACAUGAAAAAUUUGAAACCCUAGGUUGACUCUGCCGAGCUACUGUGGGAACAAUUAGAGAACUUAAUUCCCUAUACUGACUGGUUUUACAGUCUGUUGCUUACAGUUGAAACUUAUAAAGAAUAUGGUUCUCUAUACAGUGGGAACUUAUCAUGUGUAUCAUUUACAUACUUGUUUAGUAGUUAGCACUGUACCAAACUGAUAUAGGACUAGAUCGCUAUACAGUUUGGUCCAUUAGUAUUUUCAAAGGAAACUCAUAGAGAACCAGGUUCUCUAUACAGUCUGGUGAAAGCUAAGUUUCUAACAAUUGGUAUCAGAGCAGGUUCUUUCUAAAAAUUUAACACCUAGAAAGGAUCUACAUGGCUGCUCCAUCAUAUUUCGAGGAAGGACAAUCAACGUACAGACCACCAAGAUUCAACGGCCAAUACUAUGGUUGGUGGAAAACAAGAAUGCAUGACUUCAUUAUGGCUGAGGACUCAGAGCUGUGGGAUGUAAUCUAUGAUGGACCUUUUGUUCCCAUGAAAACUGGUGGUGAGGGAACAGUUACAAUCCCAAAAACAAGAAAAUAGUACAACGAUGCUGAUAGAAAGGCUAUUGAGAAGAAUUUUAGGGCAAAUAAGAUUCUUGUUUGUGGCAUCGGACCACAUGAGUACAAAAACAUCGCAACUUGUCAGUCUGCUAAGGAGAUUUGGGAAGCUCUUCAAACUGCCCAUGAGGGAACUACUCAGGUUAAGCAAUCCAAAAUUGAUAUUCUUACUACUAAGUAUGAGUUUUUUGAGAUGAAAGAGGAUGAGUAUAUUCAAUAUAUGCACACACGUUUCACCUCCAUUAUCAAUGAGCUUCACUCCCUUGGUGAAGUCAUCCCAAGAAACAAGUUAGUACAGAAAAUACUCAGUGUUUUACCCAGUUCUUGGGAAAGUAAAGUAAAUGCUAUCACUAAAGCUAAGGAUUUGCAGAAGCUGACCAUUGAUGAACUCAUUGGAAAUCAUAAACUUAUGAGAUGAAGAGAAAGAAAGAUCUUGAAAGAAGAUAGCCCAAGAAGGAGAAGAACCUAGUUCUCAAGGCUGCCAAUAGAGACUCAAGUAGUGAUGAAUCCGACAUGGAGUAUCUCACUCGAAGAUUCUAAAAGAUGAUUCGAAAAAAUCCUGGGAUUCCAAAGAAAAGGAGUUCCAGCAGAAAUUUCGAAGAAAAUGAUUGCUGCCAUAAGUGUGGACAGUUUGGACACUUCAUUAAAGAUUGUCAUCUUCAUAUGUAGGAUCAUUACAAAACCAACACUGAAAAGGUCACUAAAAGGAACCAGGUCCCUGACAGAAAGUUCAAAAGAAGAGAUGUUGCUAACAAUCAUGUUGAAGCAAGCCUUGGUUGAUUGCGAAAAUUCCUCUAGUGAAUCUGAAGGUGAAAAUAUGAUGGUUGCUGACAAUGGAUCUUCAGAAUAUGAGUCAAUCUUUGCACUCAUGGCCAAAUCUGAUGAUGAUGAGGACAAGGAGGAAGAUGAGGUAAGUUUUCUUGAUGUUCAAAGAAAUUUGAAAACUUACUCUAAGAAAAAAUUGAUGUUUUUAGCAAAUGUGUUGAUUGAUGCCUAUCGCAGGCUCAUUAAUGAGAAGAAUUCUUUAAUAGAAUAAAUUGGUGGCAUUGAACAAGAGAAGGAUUAUAUGGGAGUUUCCAUUUUAGACUUAGAGGAAACCAUUGAGAGUAUGAAGAAAGAAAAAGAGGUUUUAACUGAGAGUAAUGUUAACAUUGAGCACGAGAGAGAUGACCUAUUGGUGGUAGUUGUAAACUUAAAGGAAACAAUUGGGGAACUUAAAAUGAAAAGUAGUCCUGAGAAUUCUCAAAAGGGAAAGGAAGUUGCAAGUGAGGCACACAUUAAGCUUGAAAGUGAGUUAAAUUCAGUGAAGUCUAGUUUGUGUGCUGAGCUUGAGAGAAACAAACAACUUCAGGAAGAACUAGGAAGAGUAAAAAGUGAUCUUGAAAAAUCACUUGAUGGACCUCAUCCUCUAAUGAAAUCACUGCCUUGUACACCAACAAUAGGGGAAAUAGGGAGGGAAUCAGGUUUCAAAGGGAAAAGACUCCCUACAACCCUUAUAGCAAGUAUGUUACUGUACCUGACAAUUGGUUUUGCACUCACUGUGGCAACACGGGGCACUUUAAAGAAAUUGUAAGGUCAGAAUUCAGUCUCAACAGAAAAAUAAAAUUUCUGCUGAAAAGGUAAUUGCUGCUACGGAACCUGGUCCUUCACAUAAAAAACGUAUAAUGCUUGUUUGGACCAAAAGAGCCCUCAUUCACCCCUUUUCUCAUUGCAAGGACUCCUGUAAAGUUAAAAUUCAGUCGUUGCAGAACAAUAAAGUUUUUAUUAAAAAGAGGCAUAUUGAUGAGGAACCUGGUUCCCAGAAAAGAAAAUAUGUGAUGCCUGCAUGGGAAAAAAGAAGUUUGAUCCACCCGUUCUAUCAUUAUAAGGGACCCAAACUCGUUGGUUCCUAAGUCUAACUCCUAAUUUUCUUGUGCAUGGAAAAGUGAAAGGGAGUAGCCUACAAUGGUACAUGGAUAGCGGUUGCUCAAAGCAUAUGACUGGAAGUAAAAAUGAUUCUCCUUUCACUUAAGGCCCUGCAAUGAGAGAGUGUACCCUUUGGAAAUAGCUAUAAGGGGUACACUCUAGGAGUAAGAAGGAUUGGGAAGUCACUCACUCAAUUGAGAAUGUGUACUAUGUCAAUGGCCUGAAGUACAGUCUCUUGAGUGUUUCUCAUAUAUGUGACAAGGGAAAUAAAGUGGAAUUGGUAUCAAAAGAUACAAGAAUGUUUACAUUGCUGAUUUUAAGUCCCUGCACGGUGGUGAUCUAACAUGCCUAAGUGUCGUUGACGAUAUGCUGAGUUAUGGUGGAGAUGACUGGGCAUGUGAGUUCUACUUGUUGAACAAAUUGGUUAUGGAGUACCUGGUUCAUGGGUUGAAGCAGUCAACACUGCUUGCUACUUGAUUAACAUGUGCAUGAUCAGGUCCCUUCUCAAGAAGUCUCUCUAUGAACUGCUUAAUGGGAGAAAAGCCAAGUUGACUUACCCGAGAGCCUUUAAAUGGAAAAUGUGUUGCUAUCAAAAAUGGUGGCAAAAGGGGCACAAAACAAAAAAGAUAAAUAUGGAGAAUUCAGAAAGGCUCCUGGUGAAGCUAUAGAUAUUGCAAAUGGAAAGAAUGAUUUGAUGAGUCAAGUCAAGCAGAAAGAUGAAGGAGAUGCAGUAGAAUCUCCAAAAGGCACAGAGGAACCUGGUCCUUCAAAUUCUAAAGUUCAAGUAUCCAACUAGAAGCAAAGUAGUUCACAUCCUUCAAAAUGUAAUCACAUUCUUAGACUCUGGUAUCCAACCUAGUUCUAAGAAAGAGCGUUUCUGGAACGGCACACUUUCUGGGUUCAUGCUUGAUCUCAUGGGGUACAAAGAAACAAACAAUGUGACUCUUUCUAUUGCUGAAGCUGAAUAUGUGGUUGCUGCUCUGUGUUGUGCUCAACUGUUACAGAUCAAGCAUCAUCUUGAAGACUUUGGUGAAUUUAUAGCUUGAACCCGGUACAACACAAGAGGACAAAGUGCAGUGACGUGUACAUCACUUUUGAGGGAUAAUGUUGAAAAGGUUCUGAUUUGUGUGAAGUUAUAGAAGACGAAGGAUUGGGUAACAAACAUCUUCACCAAGUCACUGAGCAUGGAACAUUUUGAAAGAAAUGGUCUAGAGUUGGGGUUGAUCAAGCUCAACUAAGGACCUGGUCCCUCGAUGAUUGGCUAUGUUAAGAAGGAAAGGUACAAUGCUAAAAGGUAUUUUUCGGUGACAUCUAACUCAAAUCUAUACUAUUACAAGUAUAAACAUAUGGCAGUUUCAGGAUAAAAACAAGUAAGAGUGACAUUGCACUUCUAGGAGUCUUUGCUCAAAAGUUUCAAAAACCGUCACGGAAUCUGGUUCCUAUGACUCAGGUUAGUAGUCUCUUCAAUACUUAUAUGCCUUUUUAAGCUGCUGAAGUGUCAUGUCAUUAAUUUUUUUCUACCUUUCUCCUGCCUCUCCUCCUAACUCUUGAAGUCCAAAAUGUUAAAACCUUUUCUGAACUGACUCGUUGCCCCAAAAAGGCACCUCUCUAUCUUACACCCAAAUAAAACUAAUUCUUUUCUUCAAAACCAAAAUCAAACUUGUCUCGAAAUAAUCCUUCUUCCCAAAUAUGCCAGAAGUGAACCUAAAUCUCUCACUUUCCAAAAAACCUAACUCCAUCAGAAUCAAAACCCCAAGAAUUCUUUGGUAGAUUUUGAUGGAUGCUCAACUGAAAAGGAACAGGGUAGAUCUAAUAUUCUAAAUCGUGAGGCUAAAAUUGUUGAUGGUUUUGUAGAAGCCUUGAAGGAUGGAGGAAUUGAUGAAUGUGCUGAAAAAGAGGGGAACUGAAUAAGGGACCUGGUCCCUAAAAUCCUUCUUAGGAUGUUAAUUCUAAUGAUGAUCUUUUUCUCUUGGGUUUUGUGCUUAAAUGAACCUAAUAAUCUAGUAAAAAGUAUUGAGAAAAGUAGGCUGAUUGAUGAUGAAGUGGUGUAACUUGCUGAUGUGGUGAUUGUGGAAGAGAGGAUAAAGUGGAAGAAUCUCAAUUUGUGAAAAAUAAAAGAUAAAAAAAUAAAUAAAUAAAUAAAUGGAGAAAAGAAAGUUGGCUGAGAAAGAUGCAACAGUUGAUAAGGGUGAACGGAUUGAGAAGAGAAAGAGGGAGAAAUGGCAACUCAAGGAUAGAAAGGAUAGUGUAAUUGAGGAACCUGGUUCCUUAAAGAAGCAAAGGUUGAGUUAUCAGGUUUGGAGAGGUAGAAGACUCUGAAGUCUCAAAAAGUGUUGUUAGGCAGAGUGUUGACUCUGAUAUUGCUGAAAAAUGGAGGAACUUCUUGACAUUGUUGAGUUCAAAAAAUAGAAUCACCUCUUUGUUCCUCCAAGACCCAACAUUUAUGAAGAAGAAGUAAAAAGUUCUAUGUUUUAUGUGACACUCUAAUGCUAUAUGUGUAUGGGACUGAGUUUGUUCUUGAUGAGAAGAAGCUUGGGAGAUUCUUGGUGAUCUGAUUGAUGGUUCAACCUACUCAGAUAGGUUGAGCAUCAGGUUCUCAUAGACCCUCGGCAGAAUAGAAUGCUAAGUUAAAGGAUGAGAAUAAAAGAUUGAGGAAACAGGUGGAGGAACUGAGCGAGCAGAUGACCAUUGAUCAAAGGAGAGUAAAUGAACGAAUGGACAAGCUCAUCAAGGCCUUAGCCCCUUACUUUUCCUCCUGCCCAAUGAUCCAUGUCUUUCACUCCAUCCAAAUUCCAUUGAAUUCUUAUCUUCUUUUUAUCCCUAUAUUUGAUGACAUUGGUACUUCAGUUGCUUAAAUUGUCAUAUUAUGUAUUGUUGAAACUACUGUGAUUUUAUCAUAAUUACUCCACUAUGGGCAAUCACUCUAUUUUGUGCACUGACAUUCACUUGUUGUUCUUGUUAUUGUUUAUGUUGUGUUGCCCAAGUGGCCUGAGGUAAUGUUGUUGAACUUCUUUUUGGUGGUACUUCUUCUAUUAUUCUUUUCGAUGAUGCUAAAAGGGGGAAGUUAUAUAGGUGUCAACAUGGGGGAGGAACAGAAGUGUCAAUAUGGGGGAGGAAUAGAAUCGAAUUGAUAUGUUGUGUUGUGCAUGAAAGAUGGAUCUGCUUCGUAGGGGGAAUGUUGCUGAUGGCUCUGCUUCAUAGGGGAAAUGUGCUGAUGAUAGGUCUGAUCCGCAGGGAAACAUGUGAGGAAUCUGGUUCCCAAGAGGAACAAUAAUUUUGGGUUUAUCAUCAUCAAAAGGGGGAAAUUGAUCUAAGUUACUCUAUGUCAUGUUUUGAUAAUGACAAAUGUUUUCAACAUACUAGGUACGGACCAGAUGUGAUCAGUGCAGAUAAGGAACCUGAUUCUCAGGGGGAUUCUGGGUUUGUCAUUCAUCAAAAGGGGGGAAACUUAUAAGUUAUGGUACUUUGAGUUUUGAUGAUUUGCCAAAUAGUCUUGAGGAACCAAUUGUGAUCAUCUCCUUAGGUUCGGUUCUCAUGGGGAAUAUUGUUGUUUCGUAUGGGGGAACAAUGUGGAGAUCUGGUUCUUAGGGGGGAUAUCAAUUCUAAGUUUGUUGUCAUCUAAAAGGGGAAAUUGAUAAGUUACAAGUACCUUGGGCAUAAGUACUUUACUUUAUGUUUUGAUGAUCUAACAAACUUACCAUCCAGAACCAGAUACGGAACCUAUUACACAUCUACAAGACCUUGAGAUCACAAAAUUCCAGGUUGGGAUCCAGCGUGGGAUAUAACUCAACUCUUUAGAGAGGAAGGAACAGCUGAGGAAACAGGUCCUUACCAGUUCCCGAGGAUACUGUAUGAAGUCAACUCUCCAGCAGGAAAGUUGCUGCCUGCACACGCUACUACACAGGAAUAGUGCAGCAGUCAACUUUUCUAUGGAAGGCUUUUACCUACCUUGCUUACAUCGUUGUAAGUGAUGUCAUACAAGUAUAAAUACAAUCAAGGAAGGUAAAAUAACUUACUUCAUGAGAGAACCAGAUAAAGGACCUGAAGCAUGCCUGGUACAAUCAUUCAAGUUAAUCGACUCAAAAUAAUUUGGGCAGUGUGCCUUUAGACUCACAAGAACCAGAUUAGGGACCUGAUACCUUGGUGUUCCCCUGACAUAAGUAUAAGUCAAUAGUACAGCUGGAAAGCAACUGCAGAAAGUGACUCCCUGCAACAGUGCAGCAGACAGUGCAGCAGUCACCUCCCAUUGGGAAGAGGCAUGUACUAGCCAAGAUUUGACAUCACUAAGGUGAUGCCUUUUGUAGUAUAAACCUUACGCAAGGCACAAUAUUCAGAUUCAAGGCUUGCAAAAUCAGAAAUGAAAAUCCUCCCUCAAGUGCAAGAACAACCUCUCUCAAGAACAAAGUUGUUUCAACCUCAAGGACUGGAUCCAAGAUUGAAUAUAUCUUAAGUCCUUAGGUUUGUUGAGUCUUUGUUAAUUGUUCUUUAUUGUAACUCCUAUCUUGCUUUCUUAGAAGCUAUUUUUAUGAAACCCACCUCUAAGUUUGUGUCUUGGCUAGAGUUAGUCGAGUUGUAAAAAAAAUUAACUAGAGAGUUACAAAGUGGCUUGUAAUAGUAUUAUUACAAGUUAGAGUGAUUAAAGUUUUUGUCACUAGAGAGUGAAAAAGUAGCUUGUGGUGAGAGUAUCAUAAGUUAGUCAAAGUCUUUGUAACUAGAGAGUCACAAAGUGGCUUAUGGUGAGAGUACCACAAGUUAGUUGAGUUGAAUCCUUUGUAAUAGAGUUAUUACAAAGUGGCUUGUAAUUGGGGUUUACAAGUUAGUGAAGUUGAAAGCCUAUAAGUGUAGGUCGUGGUUUUUGUCCCAUUAAUUUGGGAUUUUCCACAUAAAAAUCCUCUAUGUUCUUUACUUUCUACCGAGCUACUAUGGGAACAAUUAGAGAACCUGAUUCCCUAUACUGGCUGGUUUUACAGUCUGUUGCUUACAGUGGGAACUUAUAGAGAAUCUGGUUCUCUAUACAGUGGGAACUUAUCAUGUGUAUCAUUUAUAUACUUGUUCAGUAGUUAGCACUCUACCAAACUGAUAUAGGACCAGAUUGCUAUACGGUUUGGUUCAUUAGUAUUUUUAGAGAAAACUCAUAGAGAACCCGGUUCUCUAUACAGUCUGGUGGACGCUAAGUUACUAACAGUGUAAAUAGUAGCUAGUGAACAAUAGUGCCUCAACCAAAGCUUCACUUAGACCUAACACAUUUACCUUUGACCUUAUAGUUAAAAACAAAUUGAUAUGUAUAGGAUGGUGAAAGUUGUGACCUUGAGACUCUUGUGUUGACUAAAAAAUCAUCGAGUGAUUUCUCGGAACCAUUUGUGUUGCUCAAAUCUUAGCCAAGGUUGUUGUGGGCCCUCGACUCUGUCUGUUUAGCAAUCCUAUAGCUUGUGUGGUGAGGUAUUGAUUUUCAAGUCCAAGUCCCGUGCCAAAAAUUUAGAACUUGCCCUGAAUGUUUGUCUAGGCAAAAUCAUAAGUGUAGCUCGGCUUGAGAAGUGAGUAUAGGCUCUCAUUGAUCCUAAUUGAGACUUGAAAACAUCCAUAGCCCACCAAUGAUGAUAUCCCUAGUCAACCCCGUUUAGCCAUAGCCCUUAUUCUUUCAAAAACCGUGAUACAAGCCUUUAUCCGUUCUAAAAUGAUCCUCUCUUGGCACCCGAUCUUUCCUUAGUACAAGGCAAAAGCAUAAGUUUAGGGGGAGAGACGAGGAAUGCAAAAGUGAUAAAAGGUACAAAAUGAAGAAAAGGAAAGGUAAAAAGAAAAAGAAAGAAAAGCCAAAAAGUCAAAAAGAAAAUUAACAAUGUAGAAGAAAAGAAGGUAUUCAACAAAAGCAAAAGAUAAAAGGCUUGAAAAGAUUAGAAAGGAGAAAAAGGAUUUAAAUGAAUAAGAAAGAGUGGCAGUGUGUCUCUCUAUCCCCUAAGGAAGAAGUUAAUGACUCAAAGAGUCAAGAAAAUGUGAGCCAAAAUGAAGCAAAUGAAGUUCUUAAGGAAAGAUGAAACCUUCAUAGACCAAUAUAUCCUACCCCAUGACAAAAAGCCUUCAUUACAUUCCCGCAAAAGCCCUAUAUGAUCUUGAGUUGAGUGAGCUUACAUUAGUGGUGACUCACAUAAAGGGCAAGCUUAUGGUACUUAGAGCCGGACUUGUAACCUUCCUUUGAGAGAGAUGAGUGUGUUUUCCUCCAAUUUCGUGUUGAGUGCUACAAUCUAAAAGUGAGGUUUUCAUAUGGAGAGUCGAGGAGUAUGAGUUUGGGUCCCACAAUGACCAAAGUAGCAGAAAGUGUUUUCUUGAUAAGUUGAGUCAACUCUUGAUGCUUUUGUGCCGCACUAAAGCCAUGGUGCUAAAAAGGUUGUGUGUUGUUAAUAAUGCAUUUGAGUUGAGGAUAAUUAUUAGUCCCAAUUGAUGCUAGAUGAGGUCACUUUAGGACAGCUGAAAUUUUACUUCUUUUAUCUUGAGGAGGUGGUAAUUACUAUGUUUGCUUGAGGAAAAGCAAAAGCUUAAGUUUGGGGGAGUUGAUAACUAGGGAUUCUAGCCUAUUUUAUGCUCCUUUUUGCUUAGGUUUUGGAUUAAAAAUGUGUACAAGUAUAACUGAAAGCUAACUUAUUGUGCUUGCUUGCAGUAUUUGGUCAAAAAGAGAUAAGAAAGUCAAAACCAGCUCAUAAAGGAGUGAAACCUGCACAAGUUCAAAGCUGAGUCAAAAGGGCAUUGACAGCAAAGAAACAGACGUGGACGUGGAGGGUCCACCACUGAGGCGGUCUUGAUUACGCUCACAAUGGUGGCAAGGUUCAGAGAGUUGUAUUUAGGCUUAACAAGUUACCACUGCCCGCGGUGAAAUUGCGCGGCAUUGGUGUCUCUAACACGGCUGCGGUCAAGUUCUCGCCCUCAGGGGAAGUGAGAAUCAAAGAACUAAGUCUGGAGCUCAAAUUGAAGACCGCGGUCCACGCUCAUAUUUCGCGGCCGCAGUUGGAGAAGUGCUGAGGCGGUAGUUUUUCUACUCCCAGCGGACUCAAGUUUAGAACCAGCCAACAAGAGAAGAACUGCGGGUCCGCACUUGCUUUUGCGCGGCCGCGGUAGUCCAAGCGCUGAGGCGGCCCAUUUUCCACUGUCAGCGGAAUCUCCGUAGGGGCAAUUUUGUCCGAAAAAUUUAGCUGUGUAUAAAUAGUUCUUUUUCAAAUUGUAAGGUCAUAUGUUGUUUUAGAGACCACGUGAACAGCCAUUUUUAGCCUUUUUGAGUAAUUUUAGAACAUCUUUAGCAAUUAAUCUUAGAUUUUAAUCUUGUAAUUACUUUUUAUGGCUUAUAUUUUAUCUCCAUAUUUGAUUUCUUCUUUGAUUAUGAGUAGCUAAACCCAUUAUCUAGGGUUGUGAUCCAACCCUAGUGUGGGUAUUUAAUGAGUCUUCAAUUUUAGGGCUUAAAUAUUUAUGGGUUAAUGAUAUUUAGCUUGAUUUAUGCUUUAAUUGUUGAAUUAGUGGUUGCAAACACUUAUUUGUGCCUUUUUGACUUAGGCUCUUCUUGAUAAAGAGAGGUUAAGUCUAGGAAAUUCAGGCUAACAAGGAAUUGGAGUGCUGCAUUCAAGAGAUUGAUAGCCCCAAUUAAAGGGUUAAUCCUAGAGAUAAUAAUACCCAACUUGAGUCAAUUUUGCUUGCAUUUUUUAAACACCCAAUUGGGCUUGAGAAAACCAAUUAGGGAAAAGUCACUCAAACUACCGAGAGAUAUAGAGUGAGCAACUAUGUGCAAUGAUUAUAUCAUGAUCUCAAUCACAACAAGUUUGCCCUAAGUUUUAGACUCUGUUAGAUACCUACCUAGGUGUAUGUCAGUUCCCUAGUGCCUUUAUACCAAUUGAGAAAACUUUACAAAUAUAUCAUACUUAGCUUAUUUUCAUUCUUCAUUAGUGAUUAAAAGUAGAAUAGUAACCAAAAUAAAGCAUGAUUAGAAGUGUAAUUAAGAACAUCGCACAUAGCUAGAUUAGAUAGAAACCCAAUUCCAAACCAAUAUUAGCUCUCUGUGGAUUCGAUCCCGACUUUUUGGGUAAAAGCUGCAUCAACCACUCUUGCCAUUCUAUAGUGGUAUAGGGUUGGAGCCGAUCACUUAUCUAGAAGUUUUAAUUAGGAACCUCUUGUAAACCAUAAACUUUCAGUGUUUGUGUCGUGACUAGAGCUAGUCAUGAAUUGAAGUCUUUGUAAUAGGUGUAUUGCAAAGUGGCUUGUAAUAGGUGUAUUACAAGUUAGUGAGGGAUUAAGAGUUUAAUUCCUAGAUUGCAUAGAUUGUAAUCUGAAGUUUGCUCAUAGUGAAGUUCAAAUCCUACCAGUGUAGGUCGUGGUUUUUUCAUCCCCUUGAGUAGGGAUUUUUUCAUGUAAAAGUUCCAUGUUCUAUUUGCUUACUGUCACCUUAGCAUUCUCUGUGGAAACCUAUGUAGGACCUGGUCUCUAUAUAGUUUGGUGGACUCAUAUAUUCUAUCACUUAGACAUGCUUGAAUAUCACUUUACAGGAAUGAAUAGCAUAGACAUCCUUAACUGCUAAGAGUAAAACUACUUAUGGAAUAGCAUUACGUUUAUGUAUCGUUACUUUGAUCAUGCCAAAAGGAAGAAGGGAUAGCCUUAACAUACUUGAUCUGAUUCUCUUAACAAUCCCUUUAACACAUGUCUUUGCAAAAAACACGUAACGCCAGGUCAAAGUAAGGGAAAAAUUCGUACUUGAUAUUCUUGAUAUCAUAGCACGUUAUUUCUUAUCCAACUAAUAUUCACUCCAUACUCUACAUCAUCAAACAAUUCUUUCAGCCUUCUUCUUGUCAUGUCUUCCAAUUCUCCAACUUAUAUCACUAAUAAAGAAACCGAAACAAAGGUAAUUAUCCAAAUACUUUCACGUGUAAACAAGGUAUCUUAUGUGUUAUGACUCAUCAUGCACAUUGGUGCCAUCUUGGCCUAGAUUAAUGCCAUAUGGAAGCCUAUAACAAAAUCUUUAUCCACUUAAUCCUGUUUAAUACCAUAAUUAUCCCCAUAAUUAAUUAAUUAUUCCCAAAAUUAAUUAAUUACUCACAUAAUUAAUAAUUAUCUCAAAUUACUUAAAAUACUACUCACUUUUAACCUACUUUAUACACCUUAAUAUCAUAGUUAUGUGGUACCUUGUAUGGCACUAUAUUAUAAAUACUGGGUAUUAUAGCUUGGACCGUAUUUUAUCCCAAAUUGUCAAACUUCGACGAAACUCAUUUUCUUCGAUUCACUUACCCUCUCACCUUCACGAAUUUACUUAUAACUUAUUUAAAAUGGCGUACUUAUAACCUCGAAAACAGUCUUGUCCUCAACCUAAAAUACUACUAUUAAAAUAUUAAAGUAUUAAUAAAUCAUGGUAUCAUAUAAAAUUAAUACAUAUACUAUUAUUUUAUUAAAAUCUAUACAUGUAAAAAUACAUAUAUUUUCUCAACUUCUAAUUUUCCUAAUCUCAUAUAAAGAGUACAGAUUUUUGUAUGCUUAAUUCUUAAAAUGGUAAAAAUAUAACCUUCUUUUUUUUGUGAGGAAAUAAUUUCUAUCUUUACAAUAAAGAAAAUGUCAUAAACUUUCUCAUAUUAUGUGUAUAAUUUAAAGCAUAUUCAAAAUUAGUAAUAUUAAUAACUAUAUAAAAUCAUAUUUUUCAAACUUUUUUUACAAAAAUGUUCCACUCAAAAUAUCAUAUCAAAUGUAUAUAACGGUAUCAAGGUUGUUAAACUUACGGGGUCUUACAAUAACAUAAUCACAAAUUCUUUAUAACCUUAUGAAUGGUCUUAAUCCCUUCAAGCUCAUAUAGAUUACUACGACUCAUCCUAAUAUUAAGUACGGGAUGUAACACUUUGAUAUUGAGUUAUUUGCUUAAUUACAGUUAUGUAUUCAGUCGCAUUCAUCAUUACAUAUCAUAUCUUAGUCUUUGUUAUUGUAUAUUUUCACAUCUCAUAUAAUUGAUUUGGCUGCUUAGCAUGAGUGUGGUGAGCUCGAGAGACUGGAGAGAUUGAUGUCUGAGUGAGGUUGAGGGCCUGAUUUUGAGGAUAUCGAUACUAUAGCACGUGAGUUGUCUGUGCAGCAUAUGAGUUGUCCGUGCAGAUCCAAAUAUUGAUGCUAUAGCAUGUGAGUUGUCCGUGCAGCACGUGAGUUAUCUGUGCACAUCCAGAUAUUGACACUAUAUCACGUGAGUUGUUCGUGCAGAUUAUAGCGCUUGAGCUGAAGGAGCCCCUACGGAGUCUGUACACCCGAGUAAGCGCAGUUGCUAGCAGUUAUUAUGUUUGGACUGGAUUUGCCAUGUAUAAUAAUGAGUAAUUGAGUGUGUCGAGUGAUUGAGCAUAAUGAGUAGAAAGUGUGAGACAGUGAAAUUGAGUACUCUGAGAGUGUGAGUACAUAAGUUCAUCACUAAGAUACAAUGCAUUUGACAUGCGUACUUGAGAUACAUGCAUAGAGAUGCAUUUUCUUCUGCUACCUGAUUUUGGUGACAUUCAUGAUUUCACUUGUAUAUUGACACAUAAGCAUAGAGAUGUAUAUUCCUCUUGCUACCCGAAAAUGAAACAUCUUGUUUAUUGUUGUAAGAUUUUUGGGGAAAAUCACACUUUUCAAACUUACUCAUACAUUUUUCGUGUUAUCGGUGAAAGAUUUAGAAUUGACUGCUAUACUUGAAAGGCAUGCCUAUUUUUCCGUAAGUGUGAGCAAGUUGAGCAUCUUAUCUAUGAGUUAUUUCCUGUACCACUUUUAUAAUAUUAUUAUGAAUUGUGGCUGGUUAGUGGAGUUGGACUUUGACCCUUGUACCGGCUCAUCACAACUUUCAAACUACGGUUAGGUUUGUUACUUGUUGAGUACAUGGAGUCAAUUGUACUCAUACUACACUCAUGCACCUUGCGUGUAGAUGUUGGAUGUUGAUGUUGUUGCGCACGUAGGGAGCUGGAUUUGAAGAUGUAUCUGUGUUUCGGCCAUAGCUACCUCUUGAUCUUGGUAGCUUCAGAAUUUUCAUCUGUUCAUGUAUAUUUCAAACAGAUGAUGUACUUUAUUUUAUACCUGCUUUGUAAAUUCAAAAAUCUUAGAAGCUCAUGAUUUGUACUACCAGUCCUUGAGAAAUUCUUUGUAUUAAAGCGGUUGUAUUACCUUUUCUUCUCUUAAUAAAUCUUAUUAAAUUGGAUAGUUGGUUAUUUCUUACCUAGCGGGUUGGAUAGAUGCCAUCACGACUAGUUGGAUAUUGGAUCGUGAAAAGUUGGUAUCAGUGCCCUAGGUUUAUAAGUUCUACGAGUCAUGAGCAAGUGUCUAGUGGAGACUUAAGGAUCGGAAUGAUGACGUCCAUACCUAUCUUUGAGAGGCUACAUGGCAUUUAGGAUAAAUUUCCCAUCAUUCUUUCUUUAUCAUGCGACAAUGAUUUAGCCUGAAGUAUAACUCUUUGAAAUCUCUUCCACGCAAUUGUGAGCGCUCGAUAUCAACUAUGUAUCAACGGCUAGUGAUUCCAUGGAUGGGGUGCGAGAUGUGAUUUUUGUGUGCUGAUGAUGGGCCAGUCUGGAGGACUUAAGGCCGGGUUUUGACAGUAGCUUGAGCACAGGGAUUUCGAUUAUGCGAGCAGGUGCUUUUGGACUUAUAUUUCUCGAUGAGUGGCUGGAUGGCUCUAUGAUGAGUAUGAUGUGACUGCGAGAUGUGUUCAGAUGGUUUGAUUGCGACAAGAAUAGUAUGCUUGAGAUGUAAAAAGGACUAUUGGGUAUUUGAUCGUUGUCUUGAUGUGACGUAUAGUCUCGAGUUAUGAGUGUGUUGAAAGUUUUUUCACGUUGUUCUUUCGUGGGGUGAAGCAGAUUCAUAUGUUCGGUUGACGAGCUUAGACUCGGGAAGAUGUAUUGAAUGCUUAGUGGUUAUGGUCGUGGUAGGACAUAAGGGCUGUCAGUUUGGGGUUGAGCGGGUGGGUUAUCUCUUACGGGGUGUCCAAAAGUUGUGUGAUUCCUUAUGUUGUUUUUGUGGAGAGUUCUCUCUUACCAGUGGAUUAUAUGUGUUGCAAUUUGAGUUUGGAUCGCUUGAGGAAGUUGGCUUGACUGUGACAAGGAUGAAUGCGAUAUUUGUAGAUAAUUUAAAGUAUUAAAUGGUUGGCGUUGCACGAGCUUAUGAAGGACUUAGUUGAAUAUCACUACAGUAUUAUGGCAGGAAUAGAGAAUGGGUAUACUAAGUUAUCGACUGUCUUUAGCUAUGUCUUUGAUCUAAGUGGGGGAGACUAUUAUCGAUAAUUGUAUUUCAUGAUUAUGUGUUGUACUGGUUUUGGUUUGAGGCAUACUUAUGAAUCAGAUAUGACUUGUAGAGGUCGAUUUUGAGGAUGGCUUAAGUAAGGAAUUUUGGGAUGUGUGGUGUAUUACACUUUAUAGGUAUAUGAAAAUCGUGGAAUGAUUUGACUUUGCUAUUCAUGACAAAUGUAGUGUGCAUAGAGUAGGGGUUCACUCGGUUAUUUAGAGGUGUGGGUUACUUCUUCAGGUGUUGUUGUGCUAAUGAGGCAUAGGUCAUUUGGCCCAUUUGGGCAGUGCAAUUGAGAUUUAGGCAGAAUGGGUGACUCUCGAGAAAGUUCUAAUGGAUUCAAGAUUUAUAUAUAGCAAUUAUGAGUUUUUCCGAAUUGGUAUAUGGCUAGGAUCUGAGAUUUACAUUGGAUGGUGUUGAUGCUCGCGAUAUUUCUAUGUCAUUAUGAAUUUUACAUUUCGAUAUCAAGAAGGUGAAGGAAAUGACUUUAGACUCACAGAAGGUCUCUUUAGAAUGGGUAUCUUGGUUGUGAUACUUUUGGGGUACUUAAGAGGGAAUUCAACGGCUUAUGAGCCUUAGGGCGGUGUGGUUCUAAGUCUUGUAGGGUGAGUUUUGGUUAAGGAUUGUGGUAUUCUGGCAAGGAAAAGUGUCACCUUAAGGUUGAUUCGGAAGGAACUCAGAGAAAUAGGACAGUUUGGUAGUAGGUUGGGAGCAGAUAUGGUGAUUCUUAUGUUAUAUGAAUUUGGAGACUAGGAGUUCUCAAAAGCAGAUUAUCUUGUGGUUGUAGACUGUAAAGUUGUGGCUAAAGCUAGCCAGAUGAUAGUAUGUGUUAUGAUUCAGUCAUUGUAGACUUUCGGAGGGUUAUUUAUCUAUUUGUGGGUGACAAGAGUUGAUUUCGGGUCCAUUUGUGGGCACAAUGAGGAUGUGUAUUCUACACCGGGUCAGAUUGGUUAACUCCGUACUUCUAUUAUUGAGGGAUGUUCCAUUCGAUUAGAGUUGAGCUUAUUCGUAUUCUGAUAUAUUCUAUGAUUUACCCUUCUAAUCCAUGAGGGGUGGUGAUUCCUUGGUUAUAUGCACACAUGGUGCGGUUCUAUUUGGGACUUAUAGCGGUAAUUGAGCGAGAUGGGUAUUAGGGUAUUGAAUGAGUGAUUGUGCAUUGGUUAUGUUCUUUCCAGACUAUGGUAUUGUGUUAUUUGUUUCUAUGUGGUUAUGGUCAUGCAUCUUGGGUACUUGAUGUCGAAUUAUGCAUGGUCUUUGAGUUAGGAAAUGGUGGCUUGAGGUAUUUUAUAUAGACCAGUAUUUGAAUGGGGUCUAGGGGUGGGCAUCGGUCGGCUCGGUUCGGUUGUGAAUAUUAUCGGUUCGACAUAUCGGUUAUCGAUUUUUAAAUAUGCUAAACUGAUAAGAUAUCAGUUAUCGAGUAUCGGUUAGUCAGUUAUUGAUCCUUAUCGGUUCGUUAUCGGUAUACCCGAUAAGAAUAAAAAAAUCCAAAAAUUUAUAUUUUAUUAUAUAAAUCGUGAUCAUACUGUUAAGAGAAAGGGACUGAAUUUUUUCUCUUAAGAAAAGAGGGAUUAAAUUCCAACUUUAGAAAAAGAAAAAUUUCUUUGCAUUUGAAAAUCCUAAUGAAUGAUCUAAACUUUCAUAGUUAUAAGUUAGUAGGAGUAAGGAAUAAGACAUUCAAUAGUCUAAUCUUACUAACUUUCUUACUGCGGGCUGGCAUAAUUCACAUGAAAAUAAUAAAAACUUAAUCUUAUAAAUACUAAAGAAUCAGUGCAACAAAAGAAAUAAAUAGAAAAAUCAAAAAUCUGAACAAUUAAUUCUUUUAAAGUUUAGAACUAAAAAUCUUAAUUGAAGAAUUAAGAUGAGAAAUUCAAAAAUGUUUAAAACUUACUCUAAGGAUUAAGGUCUAAAUAUGAAGAGUAACUAACGAGAGAUAUUGAGAAAAUGAGAGAAUGAAGCCGUAAGGUGGCUUUAUAUACUUAGUGAGUGAAAUUAUAAUUUUAUUAACGCUUAUUGGGCUGUCGGUUAAACCAUUAAUAAAAUUGGGCAAAUCGAGACCCAAACCGAAUACCCAAUAGUCAAAUAACGUUAAAUUGUUAUCGAACUAUUUACCCAAUACUGAUAUCGAUAACCCAAUAGUAUUUUAUCAGUUUGGGCUAUCGGUUAUACUCGAUAUAAGCCCAGCACUAAUGGGGUCAUGCAUUGCAACAGAGUUAUGUUGAGAUAUGAUCCUUUGUGUUAGGUUCGUGUAUCUUGGUUCUACUAUGUAUGAUGGAUUUGUAGCAUUGCGAUUGUGGUGGUACUUUUUGAACUUGCGAGAUGGUUUUCUCGUUUGAGUCAUUUUUCAUGAUUGAGUACAUUUGGAUUGUUGCUUAUUGGUGCACGGAUUGCACAGUUUGUGGCUUUAGGUUGUAUUGAUAUGGAAAGUUACUAGAGUGGUUGUGUUUGAUAAGAUGAGGUCAUUGGACCUAGAAUGGAUACUAUCAGAUUUGAUUACGGAAGAAUAAUAUCGGAAGUUGGCUUACGAUUUGGCUUUGGUUCUUAUGAGAGCUCCAUGACUUAUUGAUAUGAUAAAUAGUUAUGAGUUUCUGCAUGUUUCAUAGAUCAUCUGCAGUGUAUAAAGGUUUUAGAACGAGGUUUUGUUUGAUAUGAGGUUUAUUACCGAUAUUGGGAUGUUUUGAGCAGCUACUAUGAUCGAACAUUUUGCUACGAGUAUGUGAGUCAUGUGGUAUGUCAUGUGAAUGCAUCUUAGGUUAUGGUUGUGGCUUGAUACAGCUUGUUCAUACUUAUACAAUAUGUAGAUGCGAAGUUCGGGUCUUGUAAGAACUUUCGGACAUUGGAAAUUGGAUUAUGUGGUUUACGGGCUAAGGUUGAAGUAAUGAUCUUCAGUUAUGUUGUGUUGUCGGGCCUAUAUGGAAUAGGGAGACGUGGGAUCACCCCCAGGUAUGUGCAAAAUGGGACCACAUCAGAAGUAUUCAAGGCUUAAACAAUAAAAAUAUAAAUAUAUGAAACCUCACCAUCAAUUUAUUAUACAAAUCGACAAAAACCCUAGCUUUAAUAUGUAGGACCAACAAGACAAGGACCACCACAAAUAAAAGUAAUAUAAAUAAAUCUAGAAAGGUAUAACAAAUAGCUCUGAUAACAUAAAAACAUCACAUGCAAAAGACAUAAACUUGUCAGUUUCCAAAUAUUCUCCAACCCUACAAUUUAGUAACUUAAAGUUGUAAACACUUACUUUAAUCGAAUGAUAUUGCAAGAUAGUGCUGGAAAUCAAAGUUGUUUAUGUUUUGUGCGCACCAAAUUGGAGCAAACCAUGAACCCUAAAGAAACCCUAAAAUCGCUAUUUGAUGGUUUAGAUAGAUGAAAUGAGAGAAAUGGUAAAACUGAGUGUUUUGUCGUUGGGUAUAAGGUAAAAGAACUGACCCACAUAAAAAAAAGUGGGUCGAAUCGAUUAAAUUGGUCAAAAUUUAUCCAAAUACAAUUUUUAGCCCUACUGAGCUUCGUGGCCAAAUGAAAGAAUGUCACAUCAUUUAAUGAGAGGCCCACAUGAAGUGUCGUUAGUCGCAAGGGCAAUUUUGACAAUAGAAUUAACGCCCUAUAUAUUUUCAGGCAAAUAAAUGGACGGGAGUUUUUUGUAAAGUAUUUAGCAUACGAUAGGAGUAUUUUAGGCUUUUUUCCCCUUAAAAAUGUAGGAUAGAUAUACUCACUUAAACAAAUUAAACAAGUAAAUUCUAUUCCGUAAUAGAAUGCAAGUGGUAGAUUUGCUAUGUAUCUAAAUAUAUUGCCCACUUUAAAGGGUAUGUUGGAUAAAUUUGGGAUUCAUGUGGGAUUGGAAUUUGGAUCAAGUUAAAUUUUCAAUUCAAAUUUACUAGUCUAAUUAAUCAAAUUCAUUCUGAUCCAGUCAACAAGUUGAUUGGCCUAACAUUUAAGGUUUUAGGAUUUCAGAUGAUUUUAGUAUUGCAAAAUUUAGUAGAUAUUUCGGGAAUGUGACGACAACAAAGAAAGUAACUAUGAGUCUAGAACCUAAAUGUUUCUUUUUUGGACUCAAAAUAUAUAAAUAGGUGGGGAAAAAACUUAGUGACCAAAGUAUAUAAAACGUCCUUUUGAACCACGUUUUACCUUAACAUCCAUUUGGGACGUUUUAUAUAAAACGCCUUUUGUAAAUACGUUUUACCUGAAGCUGAUUGGACAUUUAGUUAAAACGUGGUUCAAAAGGACAUUUUACAUAAAACGCCUUAAUAAACCAUGCCUCUUCAAAUACCGUCCCCUUCCCUUCCCCCACAUUCAAAAUCAGAACCCCCAUUUUAAAAUUAGAACAGCAAUCCCCCUCCCCCAAUUAAUGAGAUUAAAAACUCAAGUGGACCCCACCCGUCCCAUAAAAAGUAAAUAGUGUUGGCCCCACAUCCUAGCUAAGGCCUUCUUUCGUUGUGGUUGCUCGUUUGGACUAAAAUCUUCAAUUCUUCAACAUUCCAAAAAACAUAAAUCGAGGUACUCCGAUUUAAUUUUUGUCGAAACUCGUAUAAAAAAUGCAUAUUAGUUGUUUUACAUGUGUUCUAUGUUGUUUUGUAUUUUUUGCGAUUAAACUAGUAUGUUAUCUUUAUCCGAACUUAGAUAUUAGUGUGCUAAAAAAAAUAUGUAAAAAUUGAGAAAUCAUUAUUAUUUGUUAAAAAAUGUUAAUAAGUUUUUUUUACUGUUGUAUAUGUAUUUUCAUGAAUGUUUUGUAAUUAAAUGUAUUUGUUAUUUUUAUCUGGUUUAUAUUUUUUAUUUGCUUAAAGACCAGUAAUAUAGUAACCUUUUAGGGUAGUAAAAUAUAAUGCAUUUUAGCGUAGUAAAAUGUAGUGCAUUUAUCGUAACAAAAUAUAGUGCCUUUUAGCGUAGUUUCCUUGUAGUUUAAGUAUCUCUUAUACUCAAAUAUACGUCAAAAUAACUGAUAGAUCAAACAUAAACUCUAUCCAAUUAUAGUCAACAUAUAAUUGGUGUUAUUAAGCCACAAAUAUCAAGCCUGGAACCCAUAUGUGAAUAUUUAAUAAUUAAAUAUUGUAUAAUUAUAAAAAUUAAUUAUUUAAUUUACAAAAAAAACAUAUAAAAUUAUAAAACUAAUAUGUAAAAUAAUAAAACUAACACAAAGAAAAAUUCAGGAUAUCUUGGUGCUACUGGGCCUCAAAUAUUGAGUCUGGAACCCAUAUGUGAAUACGUAAUAAUUAAAUAUUUUAUAAUUAUAAAAAUUAAUUAUUUAAUUUACAAACAAACAUAUAAAAUUAUAAUAAAAUAACACAUACAAGAAUUCAGGAUAUCUUGGUACUACUGGGCCAUAAAUAUCGAGUCUAGAACCCAUAUGUAAAUAUUUAAUAAUUAAAUAUCGUAUAAUUAUAAAAAUUAAUUAUUUAAUUUACAAACAAACAUAAAAAAAUUAUAAAACUAACAUGUAAAAUAAUAAAACUAACACAUAGAAGAACUUAGGAUAUCUUGGUACUACUGGGCCUCAAAUAUCGAGCUUGGAACCCUUAUGUGAAUACAUAAUAAUUAAAUAUUGUAUAAUUAUAAAAAUUAAUUAUUUAAUUUACAAACAAACAUAUAAAAUUAUAAAACUAACAUGUAAGUAAUGUUGUUUAAUUUAUAGUAGACGACAUAGAGGUGCCACCUAUUCAUCCCAGACCUUCCAGCGAUGAGCUACUAUCGUUACAGGGCGAUCAUAGGUCCGCCCACAUAUGGGAGGGAGAGUUUACUGACCCAGACUCUCCGCGUCAGGAGAGUGCACGACAUGUGGGACUUUCUGCAUGACAGGGUUAUCCAUCCUUGUGUAGUCACACGCCUGCGGGAGAUGGGUUUCUACAGGAUUUUGGAGAUUGCGCGGCUGCAACUCGAUUGGUCUUUGGUCACGUUCCUGAUAGAGCGGUAGAGACCGGAGAGCACACAUUCCACCUGCCCAUUGGCGAGGCCACCAUCACACUGCUGGACAUGGAGGUUUUAUAUGGGAUACCAAUUGAUGGACACCUGUUGCUUUGCCGCAAGGCAUGAGAGAGAUGACAGGUAUGUAGUACCUGGACAUACUACAGCGACUCACUGCUUUCCAGCCACAGGAUGAGAAUGUACUGGCUGGGACCAGUCAUUUUUUGUUGACGACUAUUCGACAGUAUUUGGAGGCAUUGCAUCCUGACAUUGAUGGCGAUACAGCGGAUUAUCAUGUUCACCGGUAUAGAGGUUGUUGCUAGUCUGUAUGUUUGGAGGGGUCUUGUUCCCGAACACUUCGGGGAACCUGAACCUAGUCAGCUUGAGAUUUCUUCAUCAUCUUGAGCAGCUAGAUGAUUUACCCUAGUACAACUGGGGUGAUGCUAUUCUCGCCUACUUGUACAGGCAGAUGUUCCGGGCGAGCAUGGGCACCCAGAGUGAUGUUGUUGGAUUUUUGUCGCUANNNNNNNNNNNNNNNNNNNNNNNNNAAAAUUUUACGUCAACUUUUCAUGUUAGGUUUGGGCCUAGGAGUGGUUCCUGCAGUUGCAGUCACCUCUACCACCAUUAGAUCCGGAUGUACCACCUCUGUUGCUCCCUCUAGCUAGGAGGUGGGUUCUUCGGCGGGGACAUACGCACGAGUACGAGGCUCGGCAUAGUCUCUCCUUGUGCAGGGAUAUCUUGGAUUUGCUGGAGGGUGCACAGGUAAAUGUAUAUCUAAGUUUACUUGUCAUAGCUUCAUAUGUGUUGCGUAUACUCAUGUUUUCUUUUCUUACUUAAUAGUUCAUCUAGACGCCAUAUAGCGACGCGUUGAUAGCUGGCUCGCCCAAUUAUUUCUCGGUCGGCUGACCUAUGUAGGGCUCUUCCGUCCCGUUGAUCUGCGUUGAUAUUGUCGAGCAUCAUGCUACCGAGCGAGUACUUCACCAGUUUGCCCGUCCGUAGCUCGUACCGACACCGCCACCUAGCAUACCACACAUUACCAGCGGGAUGAUCGUUCCAGGUGGACGACGCAUAUUUGGUAUGGCUAGAGGAGCAAAUAUUUAUUUGGGACCAGCGAUUUGACCUGAUUCUGCCCCCCUUCACCUAGUCGCCCGGAUACUGAGCAUGAUUAUAUGGGCUGGUGUCACAGCAUUACCCGAAUUUUCAUGGGGAAUACCAUUCAUCGAGUUACCAAUCGGUACGUUCCAUACGUCGGGAGGCACGAGGCACCGGUAUGUUAUUUGGUAUUCUUACUUAAAACUAUGACCUAGCGUACUGUAAUUUAUAUUUUACAUGUUGUGCAGGCUAUUAGCCUACAUUUAUUCCACUAGUUGGGAUUGUAGAUGCAGCAGCAUGCAGGCGAGAGAGCGACCAUUUUGGACGAGUAUGGUCGGUAGGUUACAGAGCUGGAUGCCCGGACACUGUAGCGAGCAUGAGAGGACGAGCGCUUAGUGCACGUCCCUGCUUAUGAGGCACCAGAGCACUACCAUCGAGGUAGUCCUGUUCUACGAGGUAGGGGAGCACGAGGCAGGGCUGUCCCACGAGGUAGGGUUGUCCCAAGGAAUCGGGGGGCCGGCAUAAAGGUGGUCCCCAGCAAGGGGGCAUUGAGGCACCUAUUGAAGAUGUUGGAGCUGAUCUACUAGGUGACCUUCAUCAGCCAGACGAGCAUCACAGCAUCAUGCCGUCAUUCAGCCUUCAGCUGCCGAUCACUCCAGUGACUUCGCAGGUGACCCCGUCAGAUCCAUUGUUGAUUACGGGCACAAGCUUUACCGGAGAGGAUUUGGAUUAGACUUUCAAGACCCAUCGACCGCUGUUGAGGAUCGGCCGACCCGAGAUGUGGAUAGUGGGCGCCGGCUGAGUUAUGGCUCAUCAUCGAUGGGUGCUAGGGAUCUUUCACAGGCGCAGGUAUAUUUGUAUUACUAUUAAAUUUAAAUAUAUUUUUAUCUCAUUGAUUCACCAUAAAUAACUUUAUAAUUUUCUUAUUAAGGUUUCAUCCCCGCCCGUCACGGAAACCUCUUUGUGCGAUGCUGACCUCGAUGCGACAGGUACUUAUAUUCAAGAGCCCGACGAGACCAUGGUAAGACAAUUUAAAUUUAUUUUGACUUAACACGUACAUUGCUAAUAUAUAUUUUUAUAUACUUAGCUGACUUAUUCUUCUGUAGGUUGCUGAUGGACCGACGACCCCUUCUACCGAUCCUGCCAGCACUGCUGACGAUCAUGUUGUAGCGCAUCCUGCGAUAGAGAGGCAACGCGAUGAAGAUGAUCCUGAUAGCGUAUUCGGUCGGGAUGGGAUGCGCCUCAGGCCAGCGGUUGCAUUGAAGCACACAUGUUGUGGGAUACAUUGAUUUUUUUUUUUGUAUUUUAUGUAAAUAAUAACAAUAAUAUUUUAUGUUUACAUUAUAUGCGCGUUAUGUUUUUAUUUUUUCGUUUCUUCUUUAUUUUAAUACUACAAUACAAGCACAAACAUAGCAACUUAACAUAAUUUAAAUUCAGUACAACUAAUGAAAACACAUGACAUCGGAAAUAUAAAGAUAAAGUACUACACUCAACACAUACAUGCAAUUGUUUAGUCACGACCGCCUAUUAUUCUCUGCUCCAACCACUUAAAUUUCUCUUCCAGCUUAUUGCUUUCUUCUUCCGCCUCUUUUAGUUUCUCCUUCAACUCUGCAAUUUCUCAUUUAUAUUCUCGUUCAUAUUCCCACUAAUUUUUGGUCAAAUCAUGAUAAUACUGCAAAGACUUUUGUAGCAUUCCUGCUUACAGGGUUCAUCAAACCAUCCCUCAAAAUUACAAAAAUUUCCGUUGUUGCCUCUAAACCUGUUCACACACAUCCAGUAUAUGCGCCCAACUUGACCAUCAUCCCAACAGUCCACCAACAUAUAACAUUUGCCACAUUGGAACAUUGGUACAUAAAUGCAUUCAAACAUUUGUUAAAGCGGAAAAAACCCUGCUUUUAUGGAAAGUUUUGCUAUUUGUUAUGGUUAAGCGCAAAAAUAACUAGAAUGCACCCGUUAUUUAUAGGCAAGGCAACACACAUAACGUAGUAUUUAACCGCAGUAUGUUCAUACAUAACAUAGUAUUUAAUCGUGCUAUGCUUUGCGUGUUAAAGAUUCUUUCGGAUACAAAACAACUUUUCUGCAGGCGGAUAGCUUUUCAGAUCGACAAGACAACACACAAAACAUAAUAUUUAACCGUACUAUAUAUGCUCACACACAACGUAGUAUUUAACCGCGCUAUGCUUCGCGUGUUAAAGAUUCUUUCAGACACAAAAUAGCUUUUUCGCAGGUGGGCAGCUUUUCAUAUCGACAAGACAACACACAUAACGUAGUAUUUAACCGUGCUAUAUAUAUUCACAUAUUUAUCAAACAUCUUCUUCCUCUGACAGUAUAGUUUUCUAAUAAUUUUAGAGUGAAAUUCGAAAGUGAACGUAAAAAUUUUCUAUUUUUUAAUCCAAUACUAUUUUUUAUUACAUGAACGGGAGGGAGAAAUUAAUUAAUUUACUCAACUAAAAAAUAUUAAAUAUCAAUAAGAUUUAACAACAAUGGAAACAUAAUUUUAUUUGAUACAUCUUGCAACAUAAACAAGUACAUACACUUAUUACAACCACAUUACAAAAAUAAAGCACUACGUGUAUCCUUGAUAGUUGGGCACAUUAGAUGAACUUCCACUAGGAGCUAGCUUACCACCGCCACCCAAAUCAGCUGAAGGUCAUUUAUGAUGAUCGUGUCCUGUUUGCGAACAUAUGCCACAUUUACGCGCAUAAACGGUAUCACCAACAUCCAUUUGGUUUCGUAUACACGUUAUUUUUUGCACUUGUAGCUUACGCAAAUAGUCCUUGUUACACACCAUUUUAAAUGGUUCCGGAGGCCAAUAAUGCUCAGCACCCACUGGCUGUAACUGCCCACUAUAUGUGUUUAAGUAUGCAGCAACACUGUAUUGCCUAUCAACAUAGUUGGUUGGCCCUAAACCUAUAUGUUGAAAGAACUUGAUGGCAUGUGAGCACGGGAUGUGGUAGAUGGAUCAUUUCCCACAAGAACUCAACCUGUUGGCUUCAUUUAUGGUUUGUACAUUAUUCCCCCAGUGUUGAUGGAUAGUGGUGCGAACUUCAAAAUACCCUGGUUGUGAUCAUACUGUAAAAAUGAAUGCCAAUGUGCUCGCCUCCUGUAUUUGUCAAAUCUUUUCAUUGGUAUUGGCAUAAAUUCAACACCCCUCUCCAUUAAUUCCGAUGCACCUCUAUACCUUUCAACAAACCUCUCUAUCAUCUGUUUGAAUGACAUCCGCAUAACAGUGACAGGCAAUCCACGUGCAAACUUCAAAAACCUGUUGAAAGACUCUAACACAUUUGUAGUCAGGAUUCCCCAUCGUCUGCCACCAUCCGCAUGCAAUGUACACUUGUGAAGCUCAUGCCGCAUCAACCAAUGAUAGGCUCUUUCGUCUAACUGCCGGAUCAAUUCCAUGUGCCUCCUGAAUUUGCACUGUUGGUGAUCAGUUGCAGCCAUCUACAUUAAAUCUUGCAGGUCCUACAAUUGGCCUUCAGGUGCCUCACAUAGUAACGGUGGUAUGCAUAGGGUUCCUGUCAUUUAGGAAAAUGCUCUACAAAACUUAAUAUACCACCAUGCCGAUCAGUUAUUAGACAAAUACCUGAACAUUGUUUGAUAGCGUGCUACUUCAAGCGGUUCAAAAAUAGCAUCCACGUCUCUUGGAUUUUAUUGGCACAGAUGGCAAAAGCUAGUGGAAAUAUCUGUCCAUUGACAUCUACUGCAAUGGCGAUCAACAACUUAAUAUCAUACUUUCCAUAGACAUGAGUAUCGUCUAUGGAAAUUACCGGAUGGCAAUGCAGAAAACCAUCAAUUGCUGGUUUAAAUGCCUAGAAUAUGUAUCUGAAUAUAUAUUCUGGUAUUCCUGCACUCCGCUCAAGCUUUCAUUCAACAACAGUCCCAGGGUUAAAGUGUUUCAUCGCGGCCAUGUACCUGGGUAGAGAUGCAAAUGACUUAUCCCAGUUACCAUAAAUAAUUUCAGUUGCACGUUUGCGCCCAAGAUAUGCCCUUCUUUUGGUAAUAGUACACCCAUAUUCCUGGUGGAUGGAUGUAAUACACUCUUUGAUCUUGUACCUUAUGGACGCUUCAAUGUGUGGAAUCAGUUGAAGAGAAAUCAAGUCAACAUCCAAGUUGAAGUGAUUCCCAUUGAAUGUGUCCAUUUCACAGUUGUGGGUGCCAAUAUAUUUACCCACUUUCCAUAAUCAUAUUUCCUUUUUGCUCGCACGCAGCAUCCAAUGACAGCCUGUAAACCAUCUACACCAAGCAACCUUGUAUAGAUCCGGACUUGACUCCCAUAGAGUCAUCUCACGGCCUUCUCUUACGUUGUACAAUUUUGUCACCAUGCUUAGGCACACUUUAUCAGAACAAUGCAUGCCCUUUGCCAGCACCAUUGGUCUAGACUCAUCCCACAUUGCUGUCUAAAUUUCAUCAAAAUCCCUUGUGAGGGCAUCCAGAUCCGGCAUACUUGGCAAAUGAUCAAGGUAGGAAAUAUACCUUGAAUGAAACGGUACGUGGGACUCGUACACUUUUGGUCUAACGGGAGGUGGAGCAUGCUCCUUCGUCAAAUCAGGUUCGACAUUCUCUUCCCCCUCAUCAUCACCCUUGUCAAGGAAGGGUGUGUCAUCUCCAGACUCAUCGGCAUUGUUGUCAUAAUCACUAUUAUCUUCCUGACUCUACGCAUCUGCCAAAUCCCGAGUAAAUACGUCGUCUAUGGGCAACUGAGUGAGGACAGGACCAUCAAGUUGCUCUUUUUUACUGCACAAACAACAAAAUAAUAAGCUACUCAAAUUGAUAAAUACUUUACAUAUAGCUAUAUCACUUCACUUACAAGUCGUAAUGUGUUGACAUUCCAUGAUGGGCAUUAUCCUGUUGGUGAUGACUCCCGGAUGGACCACCGUGAUCCAACACACCAAAACUACGCAUAUUCCAACUGGGCGUGGGUUCAUAACUUGUAAAACUCAUAUCUGGAUGGUACCCCAUGUGGAAUAUAUGAGUGUUAAUACAAAUUCAAUACAACAAAAAUAAACAUCGUAAUACAAAGGAAAAUUGAAGUUUAUCAGUCAUCUUGUGGAUUAUGUAAAGUAGGAGAAAAAUUAUUUCCUCGAUCCUCAUUCGCCCGUGGAGAUAAGUUUAGAUUCGGCCAAACUCUUUCAAUCGGAACCUGUUCGGCUAAAACUGCUCCAGAAUAAUCACCCGAUGAUUAAGGGUUAUCCCUGCUUUGCGCAACCUCAUUAUUGCGAACGUCUUCAACCUUUAAGUACAUUUCUAACAUUUUUAUCAAAAUAAGUUCCCAGUAUUCAUCCGGAAUCCCCAAAAAAUCUCUCAGAGUUUCAUCAUCCUCGAUGUUAAACUCAGCAUAACAAGCAACCCCUUGCGGAGUAACAGAAUACAGAUAUCUUCCGGUUAUUUUAAGAUUCACUGAACGUUUGCUCAACCUCAUUUACAUAACAACGAUACCAGUCUAUCGUACUCCAUUGUAAGUGGCAACUUAACAUGACUCUGUGAAGAUAAACUAUAGCACACUGAGUUAUUCGCCACCACAACCUCACCCCCCUCCCCUCCCCCCAAAUAUAAUGAUACCCUUACUUUUCACUCUUCACACAUUAUGAAAAAAAGCUUGAGAAUUUAACAAGAAGAAAAUUUUAUCACGAAAUUGGAGUAUUUCUGAAUGAAUUUUGCAAAACCCUUAACGCCUUUAGAUAAGACAAUGCCCAAGCCGAGGAGGUCAAAUAUUUGGAAGUAAAACGCUUUUUAAAAGGGCGUUUUACCAAUUUGAGUUAUUGUUAUGUCAGUUAAGCGCAUAAGAGUUACUGGUGGGCCCACAAAACAGGUAAAACGUAUUUACAAAAGGCAUUUUAUAUAAAACGUCUUUUUAAAAGGCGUUGUACCUUAAUGUCCCAAACGAACGUUAAGGUAAAACGUGUUCAAAGGGACGUUUUAUAUACUUUGGUCACUAAGUUUUUUUUUACCUAUUUAUGUAUUAUAUAGGAUUGUUUAGUGUAAUUAACCCAUAAAUUAUUUAGAAGGAAUAACUCAAAAUGCAACUUAUAAAUCGUAUUCUAUGAAUGCGACCUAUAUAAAUUGUAUUCAGUGAUUACGACUUAUGAAUCUUCCAAGUAGAAUAUCAUUUGGGAAUCGGAAAAGGGCCAAAUAUAUCCUUCUACUUUCAAAUAUUGUUUACAUGUAGCUUUCGUUAUACUAUUGGGCUAUCUAUACCCCUACCGUCAUACUUUGUGGCAUUAUUGCCCUUAAUUUGGACGGAGUGCCAUGUGGCAGCUCCUGAAUAAAACUUCCCAUCUUAUUUUAUACCCGAUCCACUACCCACUUAAACCCUUAACCCGACCCAAUUAAAACCCAACCCACCUUAAAUUAUACGGAAGAAACACACACGAAAUACACCCUCUCCUUACCCUUCUCCCCUCGUUAAAACAGAUCCCCAAAUCCCAAAACUAGGGUUCCUCAUAUUUCAAUUUCAGGGUUCUUUCAGUUCGUUUAUGUGAUUCUUAAAGUCGCUCUUAUCUUAUUUCUUUUAAUUUUCCUUGGCAACAUUAUAUUUUAAUCUGCAAAGAAGUUGAUAAUGUCAGAAACUAGCUGCUCGUCCAAGAGGAAGUAUCAUUGCGGUGAAAUUGCUCACUUAUUCACUUCAAAAACUUCUUUUAACCCCGGAAGGAGAUUUUAUAAGUGUCCUAAGCCUGAAGUAAGUACUAUGAUUAAAUGUGUUAUUUCUUUUAUAUGAAAAGAUUUUUGGUUUCCCUCAUGGAUUUAAUAGUUGAUAAUUCGAAAUUCUAAUUAUUUUUUUUGGCAGGCCAAUUCUUGUGGAUAUUGAGAGUGACGUGACGAAGUAUUCCCCGAUAGAGCAUUGGUGGUGAUAAGUAAUCUAAAGGCUCAAUUGGAUGCAACUACGGUCAAAAUCAAUACUUUGAGUACGUCGUUGGAUGCGGUUAAGAUUGAAAGAGAUAAGUUAAAGGAAAAGGUGAAGACUAUGGAGGCUAUAAACAAUUCCCAAAUGAACAAAGCAAGGGAAUUAGAAGAGAAAUUUAUGAAGUUGAAGAUGUUUAUUAUGAUUUUUUGUGCGAUGUUUGUUGGAUUUAUUGUCGCAUUAUUGUUGAAGUGAUGUAGUUUGUUAGGUUGUAUGAAUUCUCAAGUCUUUGUUAUAUUAGUUUGAAGGCUGUAUUUUGAGUUCUCAAGUUAGGUUGUAUGAAAUCAGUGUUUUGAAGUUGUUUUGACUCCCAUAUCUUUAAUUUUGAGGCUGUUUUAAUUUGUGUUUUGCAUCAGUUUAAUCUAUGUUUGAAGGCUGUGUUUGAGGCUAUACACCAGAUGCUUACAAAUACACGUGCAUUCUAUAGGUUUUGGAUUAAUAAUGGGGGAUUGUAUUAAGGGGUGGAUGCAUAAUGUUGGGUUAUCUCAAAAAAUCUAGAAGCUACCUCAAAAUGCAUGAAAAAUGAUUGGCUUUAUACAGCGGAUGUAGCACUAAUGCACCCUGAUGGGUAAUUAGAAAUAAAAGACAGGUCAAAAGAUAUUAUUAUUAGUGGAGGUGAGAAUGUGAGUAGUGUGGAAGUAGAAUCAGUGCUUUAUUCCAACACUUUUGUCAAUGAGGCAGCAGUUGUGGCAAGGCCAGCAGUAAUGCACCCUGAAUCCCACAUAAAAUCUUUUUCAUGUAUAAUAAUUUAAAAGGUCUUUUUUUAAUACAUAGCUGAUUCUUUCUGUCAAACAAUGUUGAAAUUCAUUCAAAAAGUGCAUAAUGUUAAUGCAAUUUGUUGUACUAUUGUUUUACUUCUAUUUGUAAUCUUGUCGUGUAUGUAAGCAAAAUGUCCCACAUCUGUACGAGUGAUUGAUUUAAUUCUUUGCAAUAUGAAUUGACACUACAAAAGAGAACUUAAUAAAAUCUUUCAUUUGUAAUUUCUUUUGAUAGAAAUUUACCCCAUCAUAUGUCUUACGAGAUAUCAACAUCAAAGGUUGAUUUAGCUACUGAUUUAUAGGUGCUAUUGGUAUGUAUUCAAUCAUACCUCUAAAAAUGCUACUUCCAGCAGACCAUAUUGGUAUGUAUUCAAUCAUACUAAAGCAUCUUCAAUUCAAGUAGACCAAAUUUACAUAGUACUGUUAGACCAAAUUAACCAAAGUAGUAAAUAAGCAGUCCAGAAGCUGCUAGUCCAAAACCUAAUCAGUAAUUAACCAAAAGAGUAUUGUCAUAUGCAGUAAUUACAAAAGAGUACUGUCAUAAGCAGUAAAUACAUCACCAAAUUAACCAACCAAAACACAAACUAGUGCAAAUUAACCAAAAGAGUACUGUCAUAAACAGUAGUUACAAAAUAAAAGUCUUAAACAGUAAUAAACUACUGAAAAUGUCCCUUCUUAGCUUCAACUUUCCAAUCCUUUUUUGACGUUCAACUUCCAAUUGAUUUGUAGUCAUAGCAGCUUUGCCCUUCCACAUUAAGUUGUCUGGUGUAUAUGGAAGAUUUGUUGGAAUACUAGCUCCUGUAUGGUCACCUCUGAAGCUAAUUUGCCUGGUCCCAGUUGGUAUAAGUUUUUACUACCCCUUUGGAGUCUAGUAAGUAUUUCUGAGAUAACCAUGGGCCUUAAAUCAGGGUCUGCCUCAUGCUCAUGCUCAGAGCAGGGGUUCUCAAAGUCUGGAAAUGAACCCCUACUGUUUUGCAAUCCUGGAGUAUGCAUGAAUACACAAGUGUUGCUUUGGCUAUCUUGUGAGUGUUGGGGGGCUGAUAGAUUAAUGUCUUCUUCGAUUGGACCCACCUCUUCUUCAUCAUUUAAACCCCCGGUAGGCUGUUGCUUCUUUUUUACUUUAAAUACUACUUUUUUUUGUUUUUGGCUGUUUUGGUUGUUUUGGCUGCCACAUAGUAAAUUCAAUUAGUAAAAAGUUUGAAAAAGUUAAUAAAAUUUGAAUGACUAGAAGUUACCUUGUCACAUCCUCGAGCAUUGUGAUUUGGCUCUCCACAAUUACUACAAGUCAUUACUCUACCUUUCCUUGAAAGAGACCAUUCUCCUUGCCUCUUAAAUGCCUCUUCUUUCUGUCUGUCUCUCUUAACCUUAGGCCUUCCAGCUAGCUUGACCAACUCUGGAGGUUCCAUUUCUUGAGAAGGGUCAACUUUCCGGAAUUUCUCUCCCCUUACAGGUUGCAACUUAUAUUUAUAUGUUAGCAAGAAUGCUUCCUUGCUAUGGAACCAAUGCAUUUCAGUAAGAGGAUCAAUCCUCUUGUACAAUAAGGCCUUAAUUGCAUGUGGGCAUGGAAUUCCAGUGAGGUCCCAUGCCCUACAAGUGCACCUUUUUAUUCUCAGAUUCACAAUAUGCUUGUCAGACCCUUCUGAUACCUCAAAUCCAUUAUCCCCAUUGGAAUCAACUCACAAACUUGGGCUAUCUUCAUAUAUUCAUUGUAUAGCUUCAUUGUUUUAGGACUGAAUUCACCACUCCAUUUAGUCACAGAAUCUUCAUGUUCUCUCAAUUGAUUCAUCACUUUGAUCCUUAUACCUUCACCCAUCUGGAGUUCCAAUGAAUGUUGCAAUAGCCCUAAGAACCAAUUCCAAGUUCUUUUUAUCUCUUUAUCUACAAUUGCCCAAGCUAAAGGAUAAAAGUGGUUCAUAUUAUCUUGACCAACAGCUACCAGUAAUUGUCCCUUGGCUUUUCCCUUAAGAAAUGUGCCAUCUAAUCCAAUGAAGGGUUUCAAACCUUCCUUAAAUCCCAUCUUCAUUGCCUUGAAGCAAAUAUACAUUCUAAGAAAUUUUCUUUUCCCUCCUCUUUAGACAGAUUGAUUACAACAUCACUUUCCGGAUUUGAGUUUCUAAGUUCAUUGGCAUAAGCCUCUAAUUUCUUGUAACCAUCUGUAAAGCUCCCCUUUAAAAUUUCCAAAACCAUCCUUUUAGCUCUCUUGCACUUUCCUUUACUGGCAUUUAACUCAAAAGCUUCUUUUAAAUCAGUCCUCAUUUCCUUUACCUUAAACUUUGGAUUAUCUUGUAAUUUUUUCUUGAAAUAAUGAGCUAUAGUAGUGUAAUCAACCAUAGAGUUGUCAUAUGAUGGAUCACACUCAUGUUCAGGAUUUAGAGUUUUGAUUUUCACUCCAGGAGAACCUUUUUCCUCAUAUAUAUGACGUACAAAUGGACACCCUGGAAUACAUUCAUAUCUCAACCUUAGCUUAUCACUUUUAACAACCUCUAACUCGACCUUAUUGGCCAAAGAAUAAAGGCGAAAUGGCUUCCUGGCGACUUAAACUUGCCGGGUUUUUUAAAGCCGAUACAUAAACUUAUAACUUUCCCAUUUGAACACUCGAACUCGUUUUUUCCAUAACUAAUAAACACAUUUGACCAUUGAUCAUGUGGCGUCAGUUGGUCCUAAUCAGCAGCGUGAGGAACACGACGCACAGGAGCGUAAAACCCCCUUCCCAACGCCCAACAGUACAAAAUACCCCCUUCCUCCAUUUUUAAAAAUCUGAAGCUCCAUUUCCAAUUUUUUUUUUCAUUUUUCAGACCGUGAAAAUGGUGGAAAGUUGUAUAUUUUGUCAUUGUAGAGUUGAAGCUAAGUUUUGAACUUCCCCAUAACUUCCCCUUCCAAGUUCGUUGAUUGAAAUCCUUCAAAAGCUUUCCGUACUCCUUCUGGAUGUUCAAGGUGAUGGUAACAGCCCUGUGGAGGAACUCGGCAAUCUGCUCGAAGUCCUUCUCAACCAAUCCCCUUGAUGUCAUUGCAGGAGUACCUGUAAAUGAGAACUUCAGUUAGUUAAAAAUGUCUAAUGAAGGACCUUAACAUUAUGCGUAGAAGAAGAGAUUAUGGGGGAUUUCAAGUUUCAAUAAGGAGGGCCUUCAGAUUCUCUCUGAAAUUAUACGUAAGGUUGGCUUCUGCUUUUGUAUAGAAAUAGAUUAAUUGAACUAAAACAUUUAGAAAAUUACGAAACUGAACCACGACAAACCUCCAAACAGCAACCUCGGCUUUUGAUUGAGGAAGAAAAUUGAUUAGGUGGAGUGUUGUGUGGUGAAGGGAAGAAAAAGGAGCAGAGAUAGGCGUAGCAGAGAUAGGCGUCGCAGAGAUAGGCGUAGCAGAGAUAGGCGUUCUUCUGUUGCUAGGGGUGUUGGAAUUAGCUUGAAAUGGUUGAUGAAGAACGCUAAAGCAAUCAAAGAGAAGGAGUUGUUGCUUGACUUUUCGCGCCCUUACGUGUAAGACAUCCAUUGGUCAUUUGCUGACUAGAUGGACACGAAUGUGUAUGUGUAAUACACGCGCACAUGGUCAAUGGUUAAUGGUCAGAUGUGUUUAUUAGUUAUGGAAAAAACGAGUUCGAGUGUUCAAAAGGGAAAGUUAUAAGUUUAUGUAUCGGCUUUGAAAAACCCGACAAGUUUAAGUAACUAGAAAGCCAUUUCGCCAAGAAUAAAGUUUAAUAAACUUCCUUGCUUCUCAAGGACAUACCCUUAAAUAAUUCUUUGUAAUCUUCUAGACCCACAAUAAUCUCUUUUCUUUUGAGUAGCAAUUGACUCCACUUCUUCAGAGUCAUAUUCUGGACAAUUAGAACCAGCUUCAUGGUCACUCUCACUGUCACUACAAUCAGUACCAACCUCAUUAACUACAGGAAAAAAUGAUUCAAUAUGUUGGACAAUAUUGGGAACUUCUACAGAAGGCUCACAUUCAUCUACUGCAUAUAUGUUAAUGAUACGAUACUCUUCAGAAACAAGGGACAAUAACUUCCUAAUCCCAUCAUCCCCCUCUAUUUCAUAAUAUUUUCCAGAAGGAGCAGCUACAAUAAGCUGCUGAAUACCUACAAAUCCUAACUCUGUAGUGUACUCAUUUACUAUGUCAAUAAAAGAUAAAAGAUCAGAAUCAUACCCCGGCCAAGUGUGAACCAAUUUCUUAGAGUAUAGUAGAUGUGGUUCUCUUAUCCAAUCACCACCAUGAUGGAAGAGUAAAUCAACUUUAACUAUUUUAUACCCUGCAAACAUUUGAGGGGACCACUUAUCAAAAUAAUUUUCAAGUUGCAGUAAAGAAUAAAAAAUACAACUAGUCGGUCCUACUUAAAAGGGACAACAAAAUAUAAAACAUGAAAAGGGACCACAUUGUCCUACUUAAAAAAUAAAAAAUGAGAGCAUACAUGAGGACUAAAAUAAUUAAAAACACUGUUAAAUAAUUAAAAACAGAAAAGGGGCAGCACUGUUAUAGACGAAAAACACAAAACGACAGAUGAAGAAUAAAAUACACGAUGCCCUAUUAAACUAAACCAUACAUCUCUGAAAUUCAACAUCACCAAAUUUCUAAACCCCAAAAUUAUCCAGAGCCCAAAAAAAUCCAAAAGGACCACCACUUAGAAGCACACAUGCAAAUAAAAUUUAACAUUAAACCUACACAAUAACACCAUAAAUAUAUACAUAUACAUGUAUAUUGUCGAUUUGAACCAACACUUAAAACCCUAGACUAAAAAAAAGUUUCUGAAAUUCAUAGAUGACUUAGUUGUAAACCCUAAAAAAAUCUUAAAUAAUUUAGAAACAUAUUUACCUUCUAAAUAAACUUAAACAAAUAUUUAAUCAAAGAAAAUUUGUACCUUGGUUGUACAGCAGAACUAUGAAGCAGAUGACAUUGAGGAACCCUAGUUUUAGGAUUUGGGGAUCUGUUUUAACGAGGGGAGAAGGGUAAUUAGAAGGUGUAUUUCGUGUGUGUUUCUUCCGUAUAAUUUAAGGUGGGUUGGGUUUUAAUUGGGUCGGGUUAGGGGUUUAAGUGGGUAGCGGAUCAGGUAUAAAAUAAGAUGGGAAGUUUCAUUUCGGAGCUGCCACGUGCCACUUCGUCCAAAUUAAGGGCAAUAAUGCUAUAAAGUAUGACGGCAGGGGCAAUAAUGACACAGUAGGGGUAUAGAUAGCGUAUAACAUAUAAAGAAUAUUUGAAAGUAAAGUUAUAUUUAGCCAUUUUGGCUUUUGCCUUUGGUAAUUCAAACACACUUUCCCCUCAUUUUUUAUUUUUUUUUGGGUAACAGAAGUGAGAGAGAAUUGGGUGAGAGAAAGAGAAAGUAAACAGAGGAGCUUCACCUAGAAAAUCCUACGGAAAAAUCAGCCAUUCCGAUUGCAUUACUGUAGAAGAAAGUUUACCAAAAGUCAUUUGGUAAGUUGAAUUAACAGCUUUGAUCGACACUCUACUCAUCAAAAACCCUAAACCCCUCAUUUCGUCCGAUUAUGCUGGGUGUUCGUAGAAAAUUGUGCCAAUUUAGUAGACAAGUUCACACGUUAUCUCGUGAUCGCCCUAGUGAAACCUUAAAGAUGAAUCUUGCUAGAUUGAAGGAGAAGAAGAAACAAAAAGAUCCUCGUAAGAACCAAUUAUUUGUUCAAGUUCCAGAAUCAAGAGCAUGGCUUGACACUGCUACUAUGCCAAUGAUACUCACUGUCGUUGGUACCGCACUUUUUGCUAAACUCCUCAUGAUGGUAUGUAUUAUAUUUAGGGUGUGUUGCACUUUGUUACUGUACUGUCUCAAGUCGAAAAUGGGAUGGUUCUAUUGCAGUUUAGAUCCUAUUUUAGUAUGAAUUUCAUUUUUGCGCACUGACGGUGUAUAAUAUUUUUACACGAUCGGGUUAAUUUGACCCACUAUGAUAGGUAACACUUCAUAGCAAGCCUGAUAUAGUAACCUACCGGAGGCAAAAAACACUAGGUGAUUUAUUCCCAUCUCCAAGCCUUGAUGGGCAGAGUUAUUCGAUACCUGUGUUGGUGGGAGGUAGCAGGUACGUUGGAAUAGUCGAGGUGCGUGUCAGCUGGUAUGGACACCACCAUCAUAAAAAUGGUUCAUGCACUGAUAGUGUAUAGAUUUUAUACACGAUCAUGUUAGUUUGACCUGCAUUAAUAGGUACUCUUUAUAGAAAAGCUGAUAUAGUAACCUAGAAAAUAAAAUUAGAAGUAAGAACCUAUUAUAACCAGUUAAAUUGAACUGAUAGUUUAAAUAUUCUUUACGUUGUCAGUGUAUAACUUAUAGCCUUUUAGUAUUUGGCUGAAAUAUGAAUGACCUUGAAAAUGGACGAAGCAUUAACUUAUUCAUUUGUUGGUUAUGAUUCUGGUGAAUGCAAUAGUGAGUAGAAGGGAAGCUUGGGGAUAGUGAUAGUUGAAAUAGUUCAAUGUUGCUUCAUACUUGGAGUGAUGUAAAUAAAUUGACGUUGUUUCGUUGAUGAUCAUAUUCUUAACAGGAGAACUUCUUUAGUACUGUACCUUACCAAAGAAACCGAACUUAAUAGUAGAACUACUUUAAUACUGUAAAAUAUCUUUGGUUUUGAAUACAACAACAACUACACCACAGUCCUAAACAAGUUGGGGUCGGUUAUAACGUUGGGGUUGGUUUGAAUAGAUGCUGUUUAUUUUUAUUACAUUUGUUAGUGAGCUUAAACGGAAUCUUGUUGAUAUUGAUUGAGGAGUUUGAUGGAAUUGAGCUGACUGCAUCCACAAACCUCAAAUGGUGCUUUUGUAAUUUUACUCUAAAGGUAGGAACACGGGGGACUUGCACUAAGCACUUAGAUUUUUCAAUUCCUUGGCAUAAUAAACUUGCUUGUACAUUUUUACAAUCUAUAUCAGCUGGGUAGCAGGCAGCUUAUAAGCUACAGUUGUGUUUGCAUGCAGUAUGAUGACUCGAAGUCUCAAGAAAUGAUAGAGCGAAAAAUAAAGAAUGCGCCUGAUGGUCAAGGGUCAGUUAGGAUGCUUACACGUGAAGAAUGGGAAUCAGUUCAAGACGUGCGACCAAGAACUCCAUUUGAAUCUAAACUGGCUCGUCCAAAUGCAAGGCUAAGGACAGGGGAAGCUUUGAAGAUGGUAAGUGCAUUACUUCUUUAGUCUUUCAUUCAUCUGGUGGUGGGUACUUUUCCUGCUAACAUUCUAGGGAACAAACUAAGUGGGUCAGAAAGCUUCCUACAGUUGUGAGACUUUCAUUCGAUAAGUGGGAAUGCAGUUUCUAGCAGAAUAUCAUAGUCACAAUGACUAUUAAUGGCGUCAUAGUAUUUAGAGAUCUAUCAUUAUGGUCACAUCGGUUGCCUGUUGGCCUAGAACUAUGCAUGUCUACCUUGUGCCUGAUUAGGUUCACUUUUCAUCUUUUUAUGGACAGAGAAUGUUUUGAUAAGCUUGGGAAUGAAAAUAAAGGGGAGUUCUAGGUGUUCAACAUCCCCAUGUCCUUAGAAAACGGAAUAAGAGAAACUGCUUUCAUUGUGGAUUUUGGUGUUUUCAUUCUCAUGGACCAACAGGAUUAACUUUGUUCUGAGUUUGCUUUUCAAAUUGGACUUUCCUUGUUCAUUUGGAUGCUAAUAUUUCUUCUCUUUUUCUUUCUCCAGUUAAGAAUGUCAAUAUAAAAAAAUUAUAAAUAUGACAAGAAUUGGUACCUCGUAAAUAUGGGAAAAGCUUGGACUGCCUGUAAUUGUCUAAUUAGGAAUAUGUUUCCCCUUUUUUAUAUCACUUGUAAAUGUUAUUUAAAGCUCAACAUGCUUGAGUGAAAUAAUCAAGCACUUCAUUCUCCUAUUCUUUACAUGGUAUUGGAGCCAAGGAUUUGAGUUCACUCUUGAAAAAUUCUUCUCCCCUUUUCUGUUUCCAGAAAGGAAAAAAGAAAAGAGAAAGAAAGGAAAUCUCAAUCGACAAGUAUUGCGUCUCAACUCCCUCCUAGAAAGGCUACCCAGUCGCUAGUGACCCCAACCUCAACAGCCCAGCGCUAGAUGCUUCAUGCAUGUAUCUCACUUGCCAUCCAUCACUUUCACCAGAAUUUCACGUGCCGGCGCGUGGGUCGCUUUCCAGUGACCUUCCAACUGCCAGUGUAUCAAGGUCGACCAAGUCCGUAGCUUCAUCUUCUCUUCUCACUUUCUAUUGCCUUUGACUUUCUUUCCUAAUUCCCUUUUCUUUCUGUAUACCCAUACUAGUCCAAAUAUUUCUGUUGCUGAGCUAGCCUUGUUUCUUUCCUUUCUAACUGCUUUAUCCUCAGUCCUCACUGAUCAGAUCUUCCUUUUAUCGUAAUCACAAUUUCCUAAUGUUGACAUUCUUAAUAUCCGCAAUCCUCGAAUACAAUUUGAUUGGAAUGUUAAAUGUCUAGCUCUUCUUAAAUUUUGGCCAAAAAUAUUGAAAAUGAUAAUAUAUAUAUCUAUUUUUGGAAGUAGUGAACAUCUAAAGGCAGACAGCUAUUAAGGCCUUUAUGGGGGGUCAAUUGGAGAACUCUCAGCUAUAUAUUUUAAACUUGGAAGUUUAAAUGCCUGGUAAAACAUUACAAAUGUAGUUUGGAAAAUAAAAGUUAAACAAAAACCGGAAGUCUGGAAAUAUAUAUUAAAUAACCAAUGAGACCUUCAUUUUCUAACUGAACUUCUCUAGUUUGGUUAGGCGUCAAGAUUCUGUUGGGUUAGGAUUAGCGCAAUUCUUUUGGUAUGUCUUAUUUGGAAACUUGGUCGCAAGAUCGCACAGGACCAUCUGUUUAAAUAAUUAUGCGAUGGUGACUUCGACAUGAUUGUACUCAUUUUCCGAUCUUUUUGUUAUCUCUUCUGAUACCUUUAAUUAUUUCCCCAAUAUUCAUGCUGAUUCAGUUGCAUGACAAAAUUUUGAAUGACUAUGCUGUUUGUUUGAUCGCUUAUAUGCAGGAAGAUGUCAAGGAUUGGACGAUAGAUGUUAUAAACGAUGCACUAACACGAGCUGAAGAAUGUGCUAAACGAGGAUCUAACUAGCUUUGAAGUAAUAAUAUUAGUAUCCUAUUUCAACCGGAGCUGCUUCUUUGUAGCAGAAAAUCUCUUCAAUCUCAGAUGUCCAUCUUGACAUGCCAUCCUUUAUUAGCAAAAGUGAAGUAGAGUUGCCUCUCUUACCGGAUGUCUAGCUUAUGCUGGCUGAAAUCUGUGCAAAAUUCCAUAGUAGUGUACUCCAUUGUGUUGUGAUAGUUUCUUUUUUACGUGAUUGGAAAUGGCAAACUUUGGUCAAUAUACUGAAAACAUUUUCCUUUGAAUAACGUGCCAGAAAAUAUUGGUCUAAGAAGCCUCUCUUUUGUGAUUGCUUCUAGUUAUCUUCUCGAGUAUAGUUGGAAAUAGUGGAAAAGUGCUAAUUCUUGGUUGGAAAUUUGGUUUUCGGUUAAAGUGUGUUCCAACUGGUACAAAAGUCUGGAACUUCUUGUAUUUUCAUUGUUUAUGAGUCGAGCGUCUAUCAAAAAUAGUCUCUCUACCUUCAUAAGAUAGAGGUAAGGUCUGGGUCUAUCGAAAACAGUCUCUCUACCUUCAUAAGAUAUAGGUAAGGUCUACGUACAGACUACUCUAUUCUAUUGGGUUUGUUGUUGUUGUAUGAAAAGUACUCUCCUGUUGCUUGAGAAAAUUCGUUUCAUUUCUUCUUGAGCAACAGGUGCACUAAUACUGUUACAUCUGCAUUAAUAAAAAUAUUGGAUGUCAAUCUUAAUUAACCAGUUCUUAGCUGUGAUGGAGAAGAGAGUACAUACGUAAAUAUUAUAGCCCGAGUAAUCUCAUGUGCACGGUUUGUAAUGUUGGCUAUAGGAUUGACUCAUUCGGUAAUUGUAACAUCACACUAAUAUCUGAGACAGGAGAAAUGACUUCGCCCAAUUUCAGCACUGAAAAUGCCAGAAUAACACGAUUUCACCCGCUUUUAAUGAUGGUAGUAGUAUUAUUUAAUGAGGAAAAUGCGACAGUUAUGGGAAUAACUCAAAUAUUACAUUAUCUAUGCAGUAUUUUUUCUUAUAUGGCCAAUAGACACUAAUAUAUUAUUUUAUGCUAAAGUUUAUGUUUUAUGCCAAUUAGGGGUGGCAAUUUGAGCUCAAACCCAUUCAACCCGCCUUACCCGCCCAGAAAUUAAUGGGUUGGGCUAUAAAUAUUUUAGCUCAUGAGUCAAUUUGGGUUGAGCCCAAGUUAACCCAUUAUUUUUUAUAAUUCAUUCUGAUCCAUUAAGCAGCUCAAAUACAAUCUAUAAAAUUCACCCAAAACAAAGGGAUCUCAACCCAACUUAUCUAGAAAUUUACUUAGUUGCUCCAAUUUUACUUUUUUUUUAUUUAUAUUUUCAAUUUUCUGUUCUUUUAUUUUUCUGCACCACCCACUCACCCUACCCCCUACCCCCGAAAUUUUUUUUUGUAUUUUCAAUUUUCAGUUUUUUUGUUUUUCUGCACCACCNNNNNNNNNNNNNNNNNNNNNNNNNNNNNNNNNNNNNNNNNNNNNNNNNNNNNNNNNNNNNNNNNNNNNNNNNNNNNNNNNNNNNNNNNNNNNNNNNNNNNNNNNNNNNNNNNNNNNNNNNNNNNNNNNNNNNNNNNNNNNNNNNNNNNNNNNNNNNNNNNNNNNNNNNNNNNNNNNNNNNNNNNNNNNNNNNNNNNNNNNNNNNNNNNNNNNNNNNNNNNNNNNNNNNNNNNNNNNNNNNNNNNNNNNNNNNNNNNNNNNNNNNNNNNNNNNNNNNNNNNNNNNNNNNNNNNNNNNNNNNNNNNNNNNNNNNNNNNNNNNNNNNNNNNNNNNNNNNNNNNNNNNNNNNNNNNNNNNNNNNNNNNNNNNNNNNNNNNNNNNNNNNNNNNNNNNNNNNNNNNNNNNNNNNNNNNNNNNNNNNNNNNNNNNNNNNNNNNNNNNNNNNNNNNNNNNNNNNNNNNNNNNNNNNNNNNNNNNNNNNNNNNNNNNNNNNNNNNNNNNNNNNNNNNNNNNNNNNNNNNNNNNNNNNNNNNNNNNNNNNNNNNNNNNNNNNNNNNNNNNNNNNNNNNNNNNNNNNNNNNNNNNNNNNNNNNNNNNNNNNNNNNNNNNNNNNNNNNNNNNNNNNNNNNNNNNNNNNNNNNNNNNNNNNNNNNNNNNNNNNNNNNNNNNNNNNNNNNNNNNNNNNNNNNNNNNNNNNNNNNNNNNNNNNNNNNNNNNNNNNNNNNNNNNNNNNNNNNNNNNNNNNNNNNNNNNNNNNNNNNNNNNNNNNNNNNNNNNNNNNNNNNNNNNNNNNNNNNNNNNNNNNNNNNNNNNNNNNNNNNNNNNNNNNNNNNNNNNNNNNNNNNNNNNNNNNNNNNNNNNNNNNNNNNNNNNNNNNNNNNNNNNNNNNNNNNNNNNNNNNNNNNNNNNNNNNNNNNNNNNNNNNNNNNNNNNNNNNNNNNNNNNNNNNNNNNNNNNNNNNNNNNNNNNNNNNNNNNNNNNNNNNNNNNNNNNNNNNNNNNNNNNNNNNNNNNNNNNNNNNNNNNNNNNNNNNNNNNNNNNNNNNNNNNNNNNNNNNNNNNNNNNNNNNNNNNNNNNNNNNNNNNNNNNNNNNNNNNNNNNNNNNNNNNNNNNNNNNNNNNNNNNNNNNNNNNNNNNNNNNNNNNNNNNNNNNNNNNNNNNNNNNNNNNNNNNNNNNNNNNNNNNNNNNNNNNNNNNNNNNNNNNNNNNNNNNNNNNNNNNNNNNNNNNNNNNNNNNNNNNNNNNNNNNNNNNNNNNNNNNNNNNNNNNNNNNNNNNNNNNNNNNNNNNNNNNNNNNNNNNNNNNNNNNNNNNNNNNNNNNNNNNNNNNNNNNNNNNNNNNNNNNNNNNNNNNNNNNNNNNNNNNNNNNNNNNNNNNNNNNNNNNNNNNNNNNNNNNNNNNNNNNNNNNNNNNNNNNNNNNNNNNNNNNNNNNNNNNNNNNNNNNNNNNNNNNNNNNNNNNNNNNNNNNNNNNNNNNNNNNNNNNNNNNNNNNNNNNNNNNNNNNNNNNNNNNNNNNNNNNNNNNNNNNNNNNNNNNNNNNNNNNNNNNNNNNNNNNNNNNNNNNNNNNNNUUUUUUUGUUUUUCUGCACCACCCACCCACCCCAAUUCCCACCCGCAAAAUAUUUUUCAACUUACACAUUUUAAGGUAAAAGGUUUUUUUUUAUGCAAGAUGAGCAUGGUUCUAAAACAUGGGUCAAGUUGGACGGGUUGGGUUAUGACCCAUUGUUUAACCCAUCUUUACCUAGCUCAUCUUAGCCCAAGUACACUUUGGGUUGGGUUGGGCAAUGAUCCAUUGAUCUAACCCAUUUUGACCCGCCGAAAUUCAGCCUAACCCGCCCAUUUGCCACCCCUAAUGCCAAUACACUCGAUUAAACCACCCUAAUGUAUUGCUUUGCAUUUGGAGUUGCCUUUUGUAUGAAACACUUUAUCUUUAGAGGGGGACUCUUCCAUGCAAAUCUAAGAGUCAGACACUUCGAUGCAAAUCUAAAUUAAUCUGUCUCUGGUGCAAAUAUCUAACAUGGGGUUGGAACCGCCUAAAUAUUUACCAUUUUGCCCCUCCAUCCCAGUUUAUGUCUUAUGUUUUCUUUUUUAGUUGUCUCAAAAAGAAUGUCAUAGAAAUAAUUCACCAUUAAACUUUCUACUUUAUCGAUAAUUUAUAGUCACAUAAAUUUUUAUGAUUUAUUUUAGACCACCAGCUUUAUGCUCCCAUUUAGCCAUAGAUUUUGGCUGUUUUUUUUUUCAACAAAAAUUUUGAAAAAUAUUGUUUGUUCAUAGAAUAUGAUCAGUUUUUGAAAAUUUUAAGUUCCCAAAACUGGUUUAGUACAGUUUUUUGGUAAAAAUUUUUGUUCCACUCACAAAACUUCAAAAAAAAUUCAUAUUCAAAUAUAACUUCAACUUUUAAAAAUUAUUUUUUAACACAAUUUCAAAAACUCUUUUUUCAAGAUUUAACCAAAUUUAUGUCUAAAUGCUAAAAGUCUUUCAUAAACUCUGUGCCGAAUCAAAUAAUAAUUUGAGACGAAAGGAGUAUUUUUUUUCCUAUUCUCCUCGUAAGCUGAGUAGAGAUUCAGAAUAUCCUACUCUUACGGCUUGUUUGGAUGGUUGUUACUCAUUGUGUCGUAUUGUAUUCUUAUCCCAAAAUAAUGUUUGUUUUGAUUAUUUAUUUAAAAUUGAAUAUAUCGUAUUGUUAAAUUUAUUGUUCUGGAACAACCAAAAACCUCAUUUUAUGAAACAACCGAUUUGGUGUGGUGUGAUCGUUUCCUAUUUUCUUUUUUAAUUAUGCCCUUACUUACUCCAUAAUUCUAUUUUAUCAUUUAAUUUUUUUAUUUUAACUCCAAAUUUCUAACAUAUUGACCUACUUUGUCUUCUUCCAUCUUUUCUAGAGUUGAUUUGCCCCGUUCUUUAUUAUUCAAGUCUCCGUUUGAUUCUUUGUCUCUUUUCAUCGUUCUAAUUUUUUUUUGUUGCUAAUAUUAGAUAACCUUUUGUUUAGGUUUUUGCUCUUGUUUCCAAGCUACUUAACUAAUGAUAAAUUAGUAGAAAGAGGUUUUCUUAAAUUAUUUUUAUGUAUAAUUCUUGAUAAAUUUUAUUUAAAAUAGUUGUGGGUAUUUUAGUGAACUUAUUUGUUAUAAUAUUAUACGAUACAGUUAAACCAAACACCAAAAAUGUUACUCCCUUCGUUUCAAUUUAGAGAAACUUUCAGAAACCACUAUGUUUUAGUGGUUAUUAGCUAGUUGUAGCUACCAUUUAUUAUAUUACUUCCUAUAGCUAUGUUUUCAGGUUUUUUAGAGUGUAUUCGAUGUAUUUAAGCUACUGUAUUUAUGAAUAUUGUAGCAUUUCUACGCGUGAAAUAGGGGAUUACAGCUAGACAUAUUUUUGUAUUCAACUAUAUUCACGGCAUGAAACAGGGGAUUACAGCUAGACAGAUUAUUGUAUUCGACUGUAUUCACGAUAUGUAUUUGUGAAUACAGUAACGUAAAUAGCGCAAUUCAUGCCCUAUUCAGCUUUUUUUAAACGGAAAGUGAAUCAAUUAACAUAAUAGACUCCUCAACAAACUCAAUUAUAACACACAAAAUUUGUAUUUUGUUAUAAAUAGAGUUUUAUUUAAGGUGAAUGUCUAUAUUUUAGAGAGAUUGUAGGGAUUUUACUUGGUGGUUAAGUCAUUCUCUCCCUAUGAAUAGAGGGGUCAUAUUCCAUUUAAAUCAUCCCAAAUCAAUAACAAUUCUCUCUCUACUUUUCUCUGUAAUUCUUUUCUUCUUCUUUUAUAAUUUUAUAACACGUUAUUAGCACGAGACUCUAACCAACUGAGUAGAAGCUUUGGGAUUGAGCAUAAGGAUUGUCAAUUGUUCCAUGAACUUCCUUCAUGAUUAAAUUCUGGAUUUAAGGUAAGUAUUUUACUUUAUUUUUCUCUUUUAAAUUCUUGACAUUCUAUAAUUUGAUUUUAAAUACAACCAAAGACGAUAAAUUUUGAACUCUAAUGGAGUUUGAAAGAAAUAUAACCACCCAAAGUGGUAAAAUUUAUAUGCCUUUCCAUGAUCAAAUUCAUGUAUGAUUGUGGGCAAAGAAUUAAAAACCCGUCCCAUUGAAUUUGCUUCAUUCUCAUUCCCUUAAGAGAAUGUGAUAGCAGUAUGUGAUAAGUCCGAAAGAAGACAAAAUUAUUACUAUGAAUGUAUCAAUGGAUGUGGACAUGGCAAUAGACGAAAUUAUAAUCAUCGUCAUUGCAGUAAUGAGAAUAAUAAGAAUUCUCAAAAUAAUCCUUCACUCUAUGAAAGUAAUGUUUAUCAUCGAUUUGACAUAAAAUUUUGUAAAUCACAUAUAGAUGAUUAUGGUUCAUUCAUGAUGUGAAUGUGACAACAUGUGAUUUAUGAAUACAUAUUCAUUCUUGGAAGAAUAUGAAUGUGGUAGUGAAUAUACCACACUCACCUCUACAAUGAGGUUUGAGGGAAAAUAAGAAAAUAAUGUCAUUAUUAUGGCAUAAAUGGUCAUUGGUCACGUAUUUAUUGUCACCAAAAUAUUUUGGCAUUGUGAUUAUUAAAAGACAACGAUAAUACAAGAAACAGAUCUUGCAUAUAAUUUUGACCAUAACCAUAAUGGUAUAUGUCACGACCCCGGUUCGCCCUCCGUGAACCAUCGUGACGGCACCUAGUCUCUACGAUUAGGUAAGCCUAAAUUGCGGAAGAUAACCAAAACUUGCGGAAGUAAAUAAUUUAAAAACAGAAAUAAGGUAAUAACAGUGUUUAAAUGUGCCGCUCGGCAUACACCAUAUAUAAAUCUCAAAACCAAUAUCCAAAUCUAAGACCCGAAAACCCAUGAAUCACAAGUUAAGAAAAGAAAAUACUACACAGCUCUAACUCCGGAAUUUGUCUAAUAAGAACAGAAAGUACAGAAAGGCAAAAUACUAAAAGGCAGGAAUAGAAAGGGACUCCUUAGUCUACGGAUGCAGAAGAUGUACCUCGAAGUCUCUAAGUAGUCGCCUCCCUCAAGGGUGGUAGGCCUGAGUAGAAGUACUUGGAUCUGCACAUGAAAAACAUGCGCAGAAGAGGCAUGAGUACACCACAGCGGUACUCAGUAAGUGUCAAGCCUAACCUCGGUUGGGUAGUGACGAGGAAGGUCAGGGACCUACUGAGAUUAAAUAAAUAUAAAAAUGACAGGAUAAUAUAAGUAGUACAAUUAAAAAUCUACAGUAAGAAUAUGCAACAAGGAUAAUAAGAAUGUCAAAGAUCAGCUCCAAAGGAGUGAAAUUUGCACAAGUACCAAGACAAGAUAAAGCUUAGGCAAAAUAGGCCCAAUGCGGCCGCACAUCAUUCUGUACGGUCCGCACAAGGGGGUUCAAAGAGGUGGCAUUCAGGCAAAAAGGGCAAUGUGGCCGUACUAGGUUUUGUAUGGUCCGCACUAGGAUCAAUGCGGCCGCACUCGAUUUAAUGCGGUCCGCAGUAAGAAGGAUCAGAGAGUGCCAACUUUCGAGUUUCAAGCCAAUACGGCUCGCGCUCCAUUUCAUGCGGACUGCACUAGAAGCCUUCGCGGGCCGCAGUCCAUUCUCUGCGGUCCGCAAUGCCUGAGUCAGAGAGAUGGGUUUUCAAGUGCAGAGCCUUAGUGCGCCCACACUAGCCCCGCAGGGGUAUUUUGUCCAGAUUUUUAGCUUAGUAUAAAUAGCUUGUUUUCCUAUUUUUAGGGUAUCAGAUAGUUUUUAGUUGUAGUUGCGCUCGUGGGUUCGAAGUCUUUAGCUAUUUUGGGCAAUUUUAUCUACAUUUCAACAUUGAAUCUUAUUGUUUAUUUUAGUAAUUAAUUAAUAUGAGUUGUUCUUCAUUUAUUUCUUGCUUUUCUUCUUCAAUUAUGAGUAGCUAAACCCAUAAGCUAGGGUUGUGGCUCAACCCUAGUGUGGGUAAUUGAUGGGUCUUGUGUUUUAGGGCUAGAUUGAUUAUGGGUAUUUGAUAUUUGGGCUAAUUUCAUGUUUAAUUGUUGAAUUAGUGGUUGCAAAUACUAGUUUGUGUUUAGUUGACUUGAGCUCUUCUUGAGAAAGAGAGCUUGAGUCUCUGAAAUUGGUCUAACAAGGAAUUGGGGCAUACUCAAGAGAUUGAUAGCUCCAAUUAAAGGGUUAAACCUCGAGAGAGUAAUACCCGACUUGAACCUUGAUUGCUUGUGCAAAUUUGCAUACCCAAUUGGUUUUGAGAAAGUCAAUUCGGGCAAAAUCACUCGAACCACCGAGAGGUGUAGAGUGGGUAAAAUCGUGCAACGGUCAUAUCAUACUCCCCAAAUAUGUCAAUCAUGACUUAGACUCAAGUAUCUGUUAAUUGACCACCUAUGCGGAAGUUACUACCCUAGUGCCUUUUAAACCAUUUGAGCAAGCCACAACAUUUUACUCUUAGCUUAUUCUAGUUUAAUUCACCAUUGUAGUUUGAUAAAAGUAGAAGUAAAACAAAAACCCAAAAAUGUUUAGAAGUGUAAUUUGGAACACGUACACAACCCUAAAUUAUAUAGAUAACCGACUCCAACUUCUAGCUCUCUGUGGAAAUUGAUCCCGUCCUUAAAUCGGGUAAAAGCUGCUUCGAUCCUCUCUCGCUACUCAAUAGUAGUGCAGGGUAGGCUUCGAUCAACUUUUUGGCGUUGUUGCCGGGGAGCUAACGGUUUUGGCUAUCUAUUUAGUUAGUUUUGUGUAUUGUUCUUCUUUCCUUCUUUGUUACUAACUUGUUUGUAUCCUAACUCAGGUACCAAAUGAUAGCGAAAAAUGCUAAUGACCCUCUUGGAAAUGUGAUUACGGGGGAGGAGGUAGAUGCUAUCGGAGAUGAUGAGGUAUUUCAUGUACCUCAAGGACAACAUAGAGUCUGCCAGGCCAAUGCGAAUGAUAAUAACAAUAUUCCAGACCCUCCUCCACCACUUCCAAGAGUGGCUCCUAGAGUGCUUCCGAACCAAGGCUAUGCAAGUGUUAUUGUCCCACCCCAAAUCCGGGCUGGCAAUUUUCAAAUAACCAAUGUGAUGUUGACUUUAUUAGAGCAGUGUGGGUACUUUACGGGCGCUGCAAAUCAAAAUGCUUACAAACAUCUCAAGGGGUUCGUGGAUACAUGUUGGGGGAGCAAGAAAACUAAUGUGUCCGAGGAUGCUCUCCGGUUAAGACUCUUCCCAUUAUCACUUAGGGGGAAGGCAUUGGAUUGGCUCGAGACACUUCCCAACCAUUCCAUCACUACUUGGGAUGAGUUGGCGGAUAAGUUCACUGUUAAAUUUUUCUCACCGGGCAUAUGGCGGCAUUGUGAGAUGAGAUAUUGGCCUUCAAGCAAGAGCCCACAGAACCUUUGCAUGAGAUUUGAGAGUGUUAUAGAACAAGGGUGAAAGAAUACCCAACAAUAAUAUGACCGAGACUAUGAUCCAACAAACUUUCUACCGGGGCAUUAACACCACAAACCAAUGCAUAGUAAACCAACUUGACGGGGGCAACUUUAUGAAGUUGUCAUAUGAUGAGGCAUGUGAUAUACUUGACGAGAUGAUUAACACUUCUUUUUCAUGGCAAAGUAGAGCCAAUGUGCCUUAAGGUGACCCCACGGUCACUAAUUUGCACAAGGAAUUACAUGAUCACGGGCAAGCUAUAGCUGAGCUGAUUGGCUAUGAACUAAUUGGCAAAGGCACAGUUGCAACAAGUCCAAAAUCCUCGCCAA
Molecule: long non-coding RNA, 68657 nt
Filed under: Nicotiana tabacum (common tobacco)
Lineage: Eukaryota; Viridiplantae; Streptophyta; Magnoliopsida; Solanales; Solanaceae
Description: long non-coding RNA (NTAB_LNC001064)
Rfam family: MIR6152 microRNA precursor family (bases 64430-64558)
Source: RNAcentral